GACGGGACUUUGGGAAAUAGCUACACGACAAAACACGUCAACAGCCGAGACAACGGCACGCAACGAGACAGACAGAGAGAUAGAUAAACUGACAGACAGACAGACAGACAGACGGACAGACCGAACACAGCAGGAAUCAUUACAUGGCAAUGACAGGGGCGCUGGACUGCAGGUCUCGGUGUGCCAACCGCCAAACUACCAUCCAACUACUACCAGCUAACACAUCAGCAUCCCAGGGAAGAAGAGCGCUGUAUGACCCACGGGUCCGUCCGUUCCCACGCUGCCGCUUCCCCUGCCCUCUCCCGUCCCCACCUGCUCCGCGGCCGCCUCGCUGGUAGUGGCGGGCGGUGUCUUUAUGUCCGGUUGCGGUGGGCGUUGUGCUGUUCUAUUGGCGACGUGGAGCGAGGCGUUGGUUGAGUUUGUGUGCACCUGGAAGAAAAGGGUUUUGUAAGGAGGUAGCGGUGGUUGGAGAUGGGUGAGAGGGGUGAGGGAUGGUGGGUGCUGCCGGCGGGGUUCAGUCCUUGUGGAGCUAUGUGGCGGGUGGAGAGCAGUUUCCGGGACAUGCCAAGUAUCGAGUGUCACGUGUAGAUGUGUAUGCGGUUUUCUGCAACAACCUCGCAACCACACCCACACACUCUCUGUUGUCACUGUCUGUUGUCGCCUCACCUCCAGCUCACCUUGAGCCAUCCGAUGCCCGACUUCAUCACCUCGGUGAUGCCAUUGCCUGUCAGCUCAUUUUCUUAGCCGCCGCCACGGCCACCGCUGCCCGCUCAUCACCCGCGUGUUCCGCCAUUCCCGUCGUCUCGGAAUCCGUGCGGCCGCAGGCCGUGGUGGCGGUGGCGGCGCCGCCCCCUUCCUUCUCCGGAGAGGCGCCGCGGGCCGUGGUGGUGGUGGCAGCCCCACCGCCACCAUCGGCACCCUUCCAACGUGAUGGACCAUUGCCAGGAUUGCCAGGAUUGUAUAAAGUCGAUGGCGCUAGGCAACAUCCAACACAUUUUUAAUGGAGACCCGAACACAUCACAAAAAUGUACAAUGGAAAGGCUUUAUGUUGAAUCUGUUUAAAUUUUCCUCUGAGCAGCAGCAUUAGUGUUGGAACCCCAAUUCAGGUAGUCCACCUCCCGAUGUGCACCACAAGCGAGGAAGCGUACGACAUGCAUGUUCAAGUACAAUAAUCCAAUGUGAGGACAUAUGCUGUACAUGCAUACAUACAUACAGACAAAUGCACACAGCGGUGACCCACACAGCCCUCGCCCACCAUCACCACUGCCACCAAGACCUAUCCCCUUGCUGUCUGCUGCCUGGACUAAUGCGCCUGCAGCACUACAGGAAUAAAGCAGGUUCUCCUUGUCGUGCACAUUGCACUACUACCCCUGAGGUGUGUCUGCUACUACAUGGCUACACCUGCUUCAUACGCCUUUUAAUACUGCUCCCCAGCAUGCAUGAUUACACAAUGACCUGCAGCACCACAGACCCCGUUGCAUCCAUGGGUGCCACUGCUGCUGCCAGGCUGGGUGCCACUGCUGCCCCCAGGCGGGGUGCCACUGCUGCUGCCAGGCGGGGCACCACUGCCAGUGCUGCCCCCAGGCGGGGUGCCACUGCUGUUGCCAGGUGGGGUGCCACUGCUGCCCCCAGGCCGGGUGCCACUGCUGUUGCCAGGCGGGGUGCCACUGCUGCCCCCAGGCCGGGUGCCACUGCUGCCCCCAGGCCGGGUGCCACUGCUGCCCCCAGGCCGGGUGCCACUGCUGCUGCCAGGCGGGGUGCCACUGCUGUUGCCAGGCGGGGUGCCACUGCUGUUGCCAGGCGGGGUGCCACUGCUGCCCCCAGGCCGGGUGCCACUGCUGCCCCCAGGCCGGGUGCCACUGCUGCCCCCAGGCCGGGUGCCACUGCUGCCCCCAGGCCGGGUGCCACUGCUGCCCCCAGGCCGGGUGCCACUGCUGCCCCCAGGCGGGGUACCACUGCUGCUGCCAGGCGGGGCACCACUGCCAGUGCUGCCCCCAGGCGGGGUGCCACUGCUGUUGCCAGGUGGGGUGCCACUGCUGCCCCCAGGCCGGGUGCCACUGCUGUUGCCAGGCGGGGUGCCACUGCUGCCCCCAGGCCGGGUGCCACUGCUGCCCCCAGGCCGGGUGCCACUGCUGCCCCCAGGCCGGGUGCCACUGCUGCUGCCAGGCGGGGUGCCACUGCUGCCACCAGGCCGGGUGCCACUGCUGUUGCCAGGCGGGGUGCCACUGCUGCUGCCAGGCGGGGUGCCACUGCUGCCCCCAGGCCGGGUGCCACUGCUGCUGCCAGGUGGGGUGCCACUGCUGCCCCCAGGCCGGGUGCCACUGCUGUUGCCAGGCUGGGUGCAACUGCUGCCCCCAGGCCGGGUGCCACUGCUGCCCCCAGGCCGGGUGCCACUGCUGCUGCCAGGCGGGGUGCCACUGCUGUUGCCAGGCUGGGUGCCACUGCUGCCACCAGGCCGGGUGCCACUGCUGCCACCAGGCCGGGUGCCACUGCUGAUGCCAGGUGGGGUGCCACUGCUGCUGCCAGGCGGGGUGCCACUGCUGCCCCCAGGCCGGGUGCCACUGCUCCAGGCUGGGUGCCACUGCUGCCCCCAGGCCGGGUGCCACUGCUGUUGCCAGGCUGGGUGCCACUGCUGCCCCCAGGCUGGGUGCCACUGCUGCUGCUAGGCUGGGCACCACUGCUGCUGCUGCCAGUGCUGCCACUCAGGCCGCCACUGCUGCUGCCCUCAUCAUCAGUCAACCCCUCAAUGCUGCCGCCACCACUGCCUGAUAGCUGUGCACGAAACUGUGUGUCCUUUUCCAUGGUGUGGCGUGACAGCACACGCAGCGCCCUGACGAUGUCGUCAUUGAAGCCAAGCAAGGACUGUCCCAGCACCCUGGGCAGCGCCUCAAUUACAUCCACAUUCACCGGGAUGUCGUGCUCCUGAUCCCAAGGCUUCGCAUGGACCAGCACGUUCCGGCUCAGCCUGCACAUGUGGAUACCAGGCAGCAAUUAACGGGUCUGGGUCAGAUGCCCAUAGGUCUCUGGCUCAGCCAGCAAAUGGUAUUCAGCACACUCCAACAAGGCUGCAUGGGUGAGGCAGCAAGUAGCAAGAAGGGAAGCAGGACAGCCAGCCAGCCUACCGCAGGUAGAACACCAGCAUGGCCAGGUGAGUGCACCGUGCCUGCUUGUAGUCAUUUUGUAGUCGGUCAUUCCACUUCGAUGACAGCACCUUCUGGAACCAAGACUGCCGCUCCCACAGUUCCUGAAGGCCCAACACCACGCCACCCUGGUCGCUUGCCAACUUGGUGGCGGUCUUGUCUGCAAUGGCCUGCAUGCAUGAGUGUUUGAUGUUGCAUGUUGAGUGUAUGGAGUACAUGGGGUAUAAGAGUGUGUGUAGGCUUGUAUGUAGGUGUUAGCCACUGGUAACUAUCUGGACAAGUCUGAGAAUCAAUUCACCGAUUGACAGGCAUCCUGCCAGCACACACAUAACCCAUAAAAGCCAUACCAAUAUGUGCAGGAUGCAUACUGCAACAGAGUGGUGACACAAGACUUCCCAGUAGCAUAGAAGGGCGCCAACACCCACACCCCCACAAAGAUAGGAGCUGCAAUGGAGACUCACCAAUGGACAACUACACUGCGGUGCAAGCACAAACUUCUACAUAAGGCCCCAUUCUACACAAACACCAUCUGCAUGUAGUGCUUCUCCCAUCUAAAUCUGACCCCAAGCCCUGCAGCCUAUGGAAUUACCUGCAACUUGGCUGUAAACUCAUCCAUCCCAGCUGGUGGCUUUUCACGCUCCCACCGGAGGCUUGCACGGGGCCCAAGCAGGUAGUCAGCUGCCUCACCGAGGCGGAGUAGGUUCACCAUCGUGUCCAAUUGCAUUAGGGUGGCACUGAACUCCAGGCUGCUCCAGCUCUCCCGCAGUGUGCCAUCCUGGUUGAUCACCAACUGCAGGCAAGCAGGGCAAGGGUGGCAUGGCAUGCACUUAGCACCAACAUGGGAAGGGGGGCCCACAGCAAAACAGGGAAGCAGGAUGAUACACAAGCGCAGUUGAGCUUGCCCCAGAACUGAGCUUUUGCUGUGUUUAAUCAGCUCUAUGGGGCGGGGGAGAAGGGGCUCGGGCACAUGGUGAAAGACCCCCCCUCACCCGCACAAUCUGACGCUGGUGCGGGUCACGGAAGUAGUAGCGCCCAUCCGUCUUCCUCUCCAGGUGCGGCUCCAGGAAUCGCUGUAAGCACUGUAAGCCGGGGUGCAGAUCUGUGUCGAUCCGUGCCCCCACAUCUGGAAACGCCAAGUCCAGCACAGUGAUGCGCUGCAACAAUGACAUGCCCUCCAGGCCCAGCUUCCACUCCUUUCGUGACUGAGGUACAUAGUGAGAUUCAACGGGUGGGCACCGGAUAAAAAGGCAAGAUUUGAGGUGAGCAGUAGUGGGUCCAGCCAUGAAGAAUUGGUGCAGCCAGUUCUAAAAAAUGCCAGCUCUACAGCAACUGGCCCCAGUUGAUUAAGACAACACAGACACUGCUAAGCUGAAGCAUACAGAGGCCCUGAGAUGGGUGUGCUGCAGGUUACCUCGUCAAUGAGCUUCAUCCUCAUGAAUCCACGGAUGAAGGCAGUCACAUCCAGGCCUAGGGGGGGUAGAGCAUCAAUCCAGUCCUCCACCAGGACUGUCAGGAGUGCUAUGGAUGGAGGGCAGAGCUCCAGCAGCUUGGGGUCCAGCUGCACUCCGGCCUUGGAGCUCUUCAGCAGCUCCCAUGCCAAGCUCAUGUGCUCGGGCCUGUAGGUUGCCGGUAGGUUCACGGCACUGGCACCAGUGAUGACUGUGUAGCCAUUGGGCGGCAUGUCGGCCAGGCUAAUCCAGGUCUGCACCAUGGAGCUGCCGGUUAUGCACCACAGCAUGGUGUGGGAGCCAUACACCAGCAGCAGCUUCAUGAAUGAGUUCCGGAUAUAUGCAGCCCCGCUUGCAUCCAGCUUGCCGUCAAUGGUCGGCAGGAACAGGCUCUGCAUUUCGUCUGAAUGGCAGGGAUAAGGAGGCAGGCAGCGACACAGCAAGGGGGGAUGAAGAGUAUAUUGUUCGAGAUUGGAAACACCAGGACAGGGGACCAAACAAGUACUGCGAGGCUCAGCCCAGGUGCAGGUGUGUUGUAUUCCACUUCUUAAAUCUGGUCCCAAACUGAUACAUUUUUCUGUCUUAUUUUUCCUUUCUCGCUUGGUGUGGUUGCUGGACAAGUUCGCUGGAACUAACUGAAUUCCAACUGCCUAUUUUGCCGCUUUUUCUGUCAGAUCUUUAUGGCUCCGACCUCUGGGUCAGACAGCGAGCAGGAUGCUGUCAUGGAUGCCUACAAGUAAACACCACCUCAGGUGGAAGUCCAUACUUGCAGAAGUAUGGGCGGGGGUCGUAGCACAGGCUACGACUGGGACGCUGGUCCCUGGCUUGCAGAGCCCCCUCAUCAAUCGGAAGCAUGGAUCAACGGUACACCAUUCCGGGACUGGACCGCGCCUUUUUGGAAUUGGCUGUACGAUUCAUUUUGGAUGGCCACAUCCUCAGCUAUUUAAGCGGGUGAAACUCUUCCAAAUCGGUGUCUUCCGACGCCACCAUCCAGUUGUGGUUGAGUAAGAUGCAGCCGGUCUAGUAAAAGCUCCAGAAGCACAUUGAAGCAGGAUGAGGGGGGCGAAGUGUCGGAUGCACAAGUUGUUGGUAUACCCAUAGGGGUGUAGUGAAAGGAGCAAGCAGAAUUGGCUCGUGUCCCCCUUCACCCAGAUGUUUGUGCAGUCAAACAUGCAGCAUGCACUUCUUAAAAUCAAAAAUGGUAAUGGGGCUUGCGACUUGCACCUGCACAUCUGCAUGCCCAUGGUUGUGUAAAGCAAGCAAGUUGCUGCCAUGAGAAUGGCAUAGUUUGCCAUGCAAAAUGAUACAGCAAGCAACCAAGAAAGCCAUUCAGACCCAGCAAUUCAACAGAAAGAAACCAGGCGAAGAAUCCAGGAGCCUGUGAUAAAGCCUCCAUCAGCAUGACCCCAUACCGCAUAACACGAGCACCGGCACCUCCACCGCCUUGAGGAACUCCCGGAUGGUGUGGCCCAGCAAGCCACGGUCGGUGCUGAAGAAGCGCCGCCCCAGCACAUCCUCUGCAGCCUCCAAAGCACCCUCCUGCAUGGGCACAUGCUCCUUGCGUGCCCAACUCAGCAGCAUACCCAGCAGGUCCCGCAACAUGGCCGUAGCACCUUCCUGCAUGCAGGGUGUUGACAGAGCACACCAUUUGAGCCACCACCCUCACAGCCAGCUCCCAUUACCAUGCACAAAUCAAUCCUUCUGCAACCAAUGCCUCUGCAGCACAGUCAUGGCAUGCUCACAGAAGCAGCAUAAUGGAAUGGAAGUGCUUCAGCAGCCUUGAGAGUGUGUUCCAAUAUUUAACACCCACUUGCCUGCCGUUGCAGCAGACCACAGUUCAGGCGCAGGGCCACCAUGCCUGCCAGGGGGCCCUCCCCUCCCUGCUGGCGCAGCACCUCCGCCACCACCGCAGGAACCACGUGCUCCAGGGUGAACGACUUGCCCGUCUGCAACAUGCAUGUGCAUUGAUAAGAGGUCAUAGGGCUACUCAAGUGUUGCGUGGUCCUGUGCUGUGGCAAUGACAUGGAGUCACACUGUGGCUAAAGAUACCUAGGAUGGGAGGUACAACACAACAGCAUACCUUGACAAGCCCUGAGACCAGCAAGGGUGAGGGGGCUUUAGCCCGGUCUUUGUCCACCGCGUCACUCAUGGCCAUUUUAGCCCAUAAGCGGAUACGAUCCACCACCCUCACUUUGUCCAUCCUCGCAGUGUCCACCCUCGCCACAUCUAUGUAUGACAGCACUGAGUCGCUGUAAUGCAGCUCCACGAUAUCAUUGUUGUUGACCUUGUAGUGCAGCUUGGCCGCACUAUCCACCAGCCGCCUUGGAGCUGGUGCACCUGCACCAUCACCCAGGGGGCGGGGCACAAGGUCGCUGGCAAGGUAAAAGGGACUUGCAGGACAGUUGGCAGUGGCAACCAUGUUGCACACUUUACCCCUGUGCUAGCUGCAUGCACAUCUUGAAAGUGAGGUCACUGUCGUUGCCAAAUCGAUUCUAUACAUGUGUCUUAAAACCCUGCAAAGUACACUCACCAGCCCCUGCCAGGAUCCCCAGGCCCAGGCCAGCUGCCGCGCCUGCAUGAUGUGGGAGCGGCCAAGGAGCACGUGCAGGUGAAAAGUUGCAUGCCGCUGCACAUGCUUGCUGCAUGUGCUUGAUGCGGUCCGGUGUGCAGGGUGAGAUGGGGGGUUGGGCAUGAAAAUCCUGAUACACAGCAGAGGGGGGGUGCUCGUUUCAAGCACUAGGGCAUGCCAACCCAGGAUGCUUCAGUAUUGCAAACCAAUACAAUGCAUGCUACAACAAUUUCAACAUGAGCUUUGAUGUUGUGCUACUGCUGCAACAGCGGUUGGCAUUCAGCCUACGUCAUGCUGUGUGAGGAAGUCUCCUCAUCCCCAAUCAACCACAUGUCAAUCCAUACCCUACAGCAUCAUGAACAUGCUCACUGGCAGCCAGAGGCAGCAAGUCUACAGGGGGAGGAAAGUAGAACGGAUCCCAGUGAGAUGGCUGGUUUACCCGUGUCGUGGGCAAACAACUAACCCAAGAACUUUGAGUAUUUUCAUUGGUCAGUCAGGCAGUCAGCCACCAUUCAGGCGCGCUCAGCUGUGCCCACAGCGACCGAGGUAGAUUCCCACAGUUGCCAGCCAAUUCUGCUGUGCUCGCUGCAGAACCUCAAUCUCAUACAUACUGUACCAAUGUGGGAUGCCAGGGCUGGUGUUUUGCUCAGGCCAAACCGCCAGUGAGCAAAUCCCUGGAGGAACCCAACACAAACUCACCAGCUCCUGCUGUGCUCCCCACGCCCAGGCCAGAUGCAGAGGCUGCACGACAUGGGCACAGUCGGGGGGCUCUUGGAGAUAAGAGCUGCAUGCUGCUGCACAUUUCAGGUGCACUACCUCUCCCAACUACCCAGUGACGCAUUCCAAGCCUCCCAACAAACCUCCCGCAUACCGCAUACACAAGCGUGCAACAACAGCCCUAAUUCACUUUAAGGUUAUUCAUCAGUUGGUCAGUCACUUGGACACACUCAGCUGUGCCCAUAGCAGCCAAGGUAGAUCCCCCGCCAUGGCCAGCCAUGGCCAGCCUAAUCCGCUACAGUCUUUGCGGUAGCUGAAUCGUGUACAUACUGAACCACCAUUUGAAAUGUUGUUUUUGAUUAGGUCAAGUCGCUGAUAAGGAGAUUUUCACAUAUACCCCGCCGGCGGACGGUCCCCUGUCUGCAAUGCAACACCGUACAUCCUCUGACCAUCCUCUGACCGUUCCAGCGGACGCCUAGCGCAGGGAACGAGCUGAAACGGAAACCUGCGGAAACGGAAACCUGCGUAAAUAGGUUUUGUCACGCUUUCCGCAGCGAAGCCCAGAUUGGCGGAAAUGCGGAAAGAAAAUCCGCAUUUCCGCGUUUGCUGUACGGCGGAAAUUGAAAAACAGGUUCCAGGCAUGCGUUUGCCAUUUAAAGACUGCGUUUUACACUAUAGAGUUAUUUGAUUAAGUCAAAUGUCAACAACCACUGGCCCCAACCUGGGGGCUGCCGAAGUCACAGAGAUUGACUGUGUUUCUGCUCGGAAGAAGGGUUUUUGAUAAUUGAUUCCACAAUGUCCGUAAACGUGGUUGAAGUUGAACAGAGCCACGUCGUUGCAGUUAUCGUUGUGCGGUGCCAUUUUUAGAUACUUUAGCCCUCUCGCCUUUUUUAUUCCUUUUGAUUUUUUUUAUAUUGAAUUCAUAUUGUUUAGACGAUUACUGGAUUAAUGCACAGUCAGCAUAGACUUGUCCGUGAGGCAUGCAGACAUGCCGGACGGGUAUGUGGAGUAGGCAUGCAGACAUGUCACUGCUCCGCAACGGACAGGGAGACGAUUAUUAUUCAGUGUUUCAGGGCUCCCUGGGCCCCUACCCCAUGUAACAUAUGAGUGGCAAUUUCUGAGCAUCCCAGAGCAAUCCGUCAGCCAACAACACUAAUGGGGGUGGUAUACGAUAGGGCUGCUCAGGCCUGGGGUCUCAGGGUUCAAAGAGAGGCGGGCUGCUUGAAGGGGGCAGGGUGAACACCGUCAAGGGUGUGGGCACACAAUAGUUGAUCGCUUGGCCCCCGCCACCCCCAGUAAUACGUUUAGAUGGCUCUACCUUCGAGCACGAUUGGAAUCCACCAGAUUCUAGAUCCCACCGGACAGAACCGCACUGCCAUAAGCUGGUUUCAGACUGUCCAUGUUAUCGCCACACUGAGAAGAGCUAAAAAACAUCGUUACAUAUUCAUUUUAUAGUUUUCGCAGCUUUCCGCAGUUUCCGCAGCCUUUCCGCAAAGGGCCUCCCGAUUACGAAAAGUUUCCGCAGACCUGGUCAAGUUUCGGCUCGUUCCCUGGCCUAGCGGACGGUCAUGGAAACGAUGGUCCAAAGCUCCAAAACAUCUGUAUGUAGAUGAUUUAUGAGACGCUAAUAAUAAAUGCUCCAGCUUGCACUCCUUGGCAAUCAAUUAACGCGCAAAACACUCGCCAGGCGAACCUAACCCCAAAAUCGUAACACACAUAGUAAAAAGGCUUCUAGCAUAAAAGGAGACAGCAAUCGAAAGGCGCCCAGGCGCAAUACUACGACCAUUUGUCUCUAUAUUGUUUAUGUGGACUAUAAUAUAGGUGCUGACGAAGGCUUCAGCCGCACACUCUUCAUGGCUCACUUACAUUGCAUCUUGAGACGCAAGAGUUCCUCAUCGCGAAGUUUGAGCUUCUCCUCGCGGAGUUGGCGCUUCUCCUCGCGGAGUUGGCGCUUCUCCUCGCGGAGUUGGCGCUCCUUCUCGCGCAAGUGGGCCAACUCGUCUUUGUCCUUGCAUAAUUUUAGUGCAUCCUCCGUUGCCUCUAUCUGCGACUCGACCUCCUGUAUUUUCCUAUCGAGGGUCUCCAUGCGCCCAACACCAGCGGAGUUGUUAAACUAGAGCUCAGAAUGUAACGAACAUAAAGCAGAUGCUAUAUCUUCUUCGUAAGGACAAAGUCUCUGCUGGCGGAAAAAUGGAAAAGCGGUUGCCGUACCUACAGGGAUUACAGGGAUUCGUCGUAGGGAGCUGAACACGUACGUGACAAGAACCAUGAGUUAUGCAUUCACUUGUGUAAAGGGAAUUCUUAUUGAGCUGCAGCAUAAGGCUCCAUGGAAAGGACGGCCAAGACCUCGAGGCGAGACGGACGGCCGAGACCCCUCGGGCCGAGACCUCGGGCCGAGACCUCGGGCUGAGACCUCGGGCCGGGCUGAGACCUUGGGCGUCUAUGAAAUAAGUUUGCCCUGGUGACUGAUUACAUAGCUAGACAGGUGCAUCGUUAUGCGAACUUCUCAACUGACGCAUCGCGUGGAGCGCCUUGGCAAGCAAACGCCGGUCACCUAACGUCGACGCUCGCGUAGGACCUGUCGAAAUGUCGUCGUAACCAGGGCACUCCAUGACGACAUGAUACUCAUCUUGAAACCCGAUCCACCCUCACCCUACCAAUGAGACUGUUGACCUCAAUCACCCAACAGCACAAACGAAAAUGAAUUAAGAUCCUAUGAUGCCGGGAAGGGAUGUAAUUUCCAAGGUGGCGUGAGCACCCCAUUCAUUGCACGUAAAGACACAUUUUCAACCCCGGUUGAGGUGUCAGAAAUGAAGUCCCGAGGAUCCUCAAAUUGGACUGACUGGGAAAACAUGUCCCCUUGCUUAACGGAGGUGCUUGAAAAGCAUCCAUAUACGGGGUGACGAGGCUUCCUGGGGAGACCCCCGAAUUAGUUGGGAGAGCGAGAUUAUGGCUAGCUGCUGAGAUGUGGAGUUGAGGUCACAGUUGAUGGACCAGAUUCGCACGCUGGAUUGGUGGCGAUUGCCGAACCCUCCGUCUCUUCGGGUGUUCGGGUGAAUGGAUGAGGAGGGGUCCCUGAAGGCUGGAUCCGCCGCCUUGGACUUACAGUUCGUAUGGCGAAGUACAGUGUGGUAGUGGUGGAUGGUGCUGUAAGGUGAUAAAUGAUCUAGAACUGACAAUGUGAUAAAGCGGCCCAGAAGCCUCCCACUCUGUAACAUUACAUUACAUUACAUAUGCUAGGGCGGCUGAACUAACAGAUGUUUUGAUUUUAUUUUGGUACAUAGCGCCUGGGAGAAAUAUUUCAGCAAGGAUUUUACCCAAAACCAAGGAGGCGUCGCUCCUCAUCCUUCUCUGCAGCCAUCGCCUCCACCACACCUGCCACAUCAUCAUCUGUCUCCUCAGACGGGUACACCUCAUCACUUGCCACACUCUCGACCUCCCCGUUAUCAGAAGGAUAAUAGGCCUCAGCAAUUUCACUGCCCACACUGCCCUCAUCAUCACUCUCAUCAGGCAUCCCACAGUCGCCUACCUUGGCAAUACGGUGCAGGAGCCCAUCCGGGUUCUUUGCAACAUACUCCUCAGCAGCUUGAAUCACAAGGGGUUUGCAUUUCAUAUCCACGGUUGCAUCGAGUAAUCCAACACGCAGAAGGGAAUCAAUGGACGGGACAGACAGCCGGUUACACAGCCUGUUCUUGAUAAUGCGGUGGACACUAAAGCCACGCUCAACACACGCUGUUUGAGUGGGAAAGACACAAGCGACAUACACCAACUGAAUCAAGCGUGGAAAGAAGUGGACCCACUGAUGCAUUCCAGCCCAGGCCCGCUCCCAGGAGGCGCGGCCCAGCUCCAACUGCAAGGCCAUCUUAGACCUCAUAACUGAAAACGCUUUUUGCAAAACGUCAAGUUCGCUGACAUCGAAGGCAAACAGGCGGUUAGAGCUUGCCGAGUGGCAAAAGUGUGCUAGCAACUUCACGAACUCCUUACGGCCAUAGCCACGCCGCUCUUCCUCAAGACAUCCUCACAUAUGUAGCAGGAUCAAAAAUACGAAAGCACUUCAGAAGCUCAGUGUCUCCAAAACGUGCAUCCAAAUGCUUCAAAGUUAAACCCACAAACCGACAAGCAACCGACAGCUGCUGACAAAUGCUACAGCCACCAAUCGCGUGGCCUUGCUUAUUUUUGCCGGUUUGCUGCCACCAGGGAUACUUCGCCGCAAAGGCUGCCUGCCCAAUGUCAGAGACAGACGCCUUCGGUAGCUUGCCUGACAAGUCGACCACCUCAGGUGCAGCCUGAGCAGGCGGGGGUUGAGCCAUCAUUGGCUGCCCAGGUGCUGCUGCAGUGUAUAACAGCGAUUGCUGGUUAGUUUUCUGACUACAUUCAUAAUAACGAUGCAAGACUGUCGGUCGACAAAACGUUUGAAAUUUGCAGCGACCUUAUCGAAACUUACAGUAAAUGUUCACUGAAAAAUGUUCAGCAGCUUUGCCAUUAGCAGCAGGAGUAGAAGUGACUGGGGAUUUCUCUGCAUAGUACGAAAACUGCCCCUAGGUAAGAGGAGUCACACGAGCCGCGGUACCCUCCGUCGCUGUGGGAAUCGAAGCCACAACAGCCACCAGGUGUCGGAUGAAAAUAAGUUCAUCCUAUCCAGGCCCAGCACAUCCUUCACCGCCGCCAACUCCAUGCACAUCACCCCCGCAAUGCCUGUACGUCUGGCGCAACCCCAACCGUGUGUGGGGCCCUUCCUUUGACAGCACCGCCGGGCCCAUGUUGUGUACACAUCCUAAAACGUUUGCAAGCUGUGGCAGAUCUCACCAGUACUGCUCAGCAGUAGCAGUAGCAACAACGCUUGCAACGAAAUACCUACCUUCCGCGACCGGCACCUGCUCUUCGAGGACGACCUGCACAAUGGGGAAGGGAGAGGGGAAAAGCAAAAGCGAGCUCAUGCGCUUGCAACUAAGUGCUCACCAUGGCUGCCACCGCAGCCGUUUCAGGUGUAUGAAUGCGAGAAAGAGGAUCAGCAACAUUCUUGCAGCCCGGCCGGUACUACCACGUGUAGUGGAAGCGGCUCAGGAACUCUUGCCGCCGUGCUUGGCGUGUGACCAUCAUGAAGGUAUCCUGUGCGGUCUCAAGGUACACAGGCGCCACUCCUGUGUAGGGCAUUGAGUACACAGUAGCUCUUGCUCUGUGGUAGUGUAGUUGACUUCGGCAGGUGUGAACUUCUUGCUGGUGUAGGCGACGGGGUGGCCAUCCUGCAGCAUUGCGCCGCCUGUGCCGUAGAUGGCUGGCGUCGGUUACUACUUUGAAAAGGGUUUGGUAAGGUCAGGAAGGCGCAACAAGGGGCGUAUGUGUGUGUAUGUGUGUGUCCACCGCACCCUCCCCCCUAACCACCCCAACCUCUCCCUCACCUUGAGCGCGCUCUUGAAGGGUGGUCCCUUAGGGUGCGGGAACAGUACGGCAGUGUCCAGUAUACGGCCGUGACACGUCCGCAAGGCGGCCAGGUCGUUCUCAAGCGCGUGACCCACCAACAGACAUUCCGAUGACACCAGUGUCAGGAAGUGCUCCUUUGGGGGGGGGAGUUGGUAGGGGUUUUGGGGGGAGCCCAGGUCCCAAAACCGGGGGAGGAGGAUGGGAAGAGGAAUCAUCAUAUACGACAGAAAGAAAAAAGAAAGAGUUAGCAAAGCGGCGAGAGAUGUCGGCACGCCAAGGGGACGUGUGGCAAUGCGGCAGUGCGUCUAGGCUUUCCAGCCGGGCCUCUUCCCGCGUCCCCACUCACCCGCACAUCCUCGAGUCGAUUGGUACAGCCCUGCAUGAUCAUACAGUUGUGGCUCAUUGAGUAUGUCAGCUGGAGAUGAUCAAACUUGAACUUGGAAGGAGAAAGCGGAGGCACAAGAGAAAGCGGAGGGGCAAUCUUGAAACACACACAUACCCAUACACACAUACCAUACAGACACACACGAGCACCUUCGGUCUGCCAGCCCUCCCCCCUGACCUCCAACAUCUUUGACGUGAUUCCGCUGUACCGCGUGUUGUAAUCCAAAAUUGGAUUAUGAGGAAGUACGAGCUCGUCCAUCAGUAUGGCGCCGCUGGGAAAGCCGGUCUUGCCGCCGCCGGUGCUGCUGCUGCUGCCGCCGCCGCCGCCACCCACAGACCUCCGUCCGCUGCGGCUAAAUCCCUCACCUUCCCCUCCUCCUUGGCCGUCAUCAUCGUCAUCAUCAUCACCAUUAUCGUGUUGCUCUAUAUCACCGCUUCUAACGCCGUCAACGCUGCUGCUGCCGCCGUUGGCGGCGUGGCCGUUGCGUCUGGUGGCGGCGACGGCGGCGGCAGCAGCAGCGCCCGCCGCCGUGCCCGGCUCCCAUCCCAGCCCGGCCACCAAAGGAAUCCGCGUGAGUUCAAAUCCCGCUUCCGUGAUGCACAUCUCACAGUCCAACGCAACCAUUCGUUCGCUGGCCGUCGGGUCACCUGUACAACGGAGGAAUGCUUUUAGGGGACUUUCAAAUGUUCAGGGCAUCAGGGCAUCAACUUAUAAGCUAGAUUUUCCAAUUUGUUUUCAAAGACAGCGACAUCCACACAAGCCACGUAAGCAGUUUUGCACCGAACCCGCAUCCUGUUUAGGUCCUUAUUACCCGAAGGUCGCGUCGCCAUAAAGCCCGGAGGACAUACAAGCCGCCUCUGCGGGCCUCUUCGCGCGCCGCCGCCACCUUCUUCCUCCCCUCCUCGUUCCUCUCCCCCCGUCCCCUCUUCACCCUCCUCCUCCUCCUCCUCCUCCUCCUCCAAGUACGGCAACGGGUAGUUAUGUUGCUUAAGCUCGUCCAAUGAUGCCACGUAGUGCGAGGGCGGGAAGGGACCUGGAGGCAACUGCACCGACGACGGCGGCGGCGGCGGCGGCGGCGGAGCCCGACCGCCUUUCUCUCGCCGUUCCGCCGCGGCACCUUUUGGUGGCGCAAGGCUAGCAACCGCCGCCAGCGGCCUCGCGUCUACGUCCUGUUGUUUCUGGUGCUGUUGAAAGCACACGCAUAAGCGGGGGGAAGGGCUUACUCAGGGGGUUACUGACCGUGCUGUUUCAUAAACUUAAUGUUUCAUUAAAACAACUGAAUGUGUUUUUAUGUAUUCGGCACAUGACAUCCCUUUCCCUGCUGGGACGUGUUUUUACCCCCGCACGCGUGUGUGCGUGUGUGCGUGCGUGUAUGUAUUUCCACGGUGUGCCCGAGUCCCUUUGCCCAUCUUCCAAACCACUGCUCGCUGUACUGCACGUUGUUGAAUGGACUUGGAUUUGGGUUUUCAUUUUCCCCACACCUCUCCCCACCACCACCACCACCUCUCCCCUGGCGGCUACCUCGCCCACCCCCGCCCACGCACCCCACCACCAACCCACAGCACCUGCUGCCGUUUCUGUCGAACCUGGGUCGACCGGCUGUCGUACACACCUCGCCGCAAGCUAAACCCGGUAGGGGUGAAAGGGGGGGGGAAGGGUGUGAUUGAGCUUUGGGCUCUGGGAAGGGGCCCCCGGGGGGCGCGGGGGGCGCGGGCAGGAUAAAAAACGGGGGAGUCCCGAUUUCGGAAGAACGAGAAACCGCAUGAUGGCUUGUGGAAUCAUAGUAAGUAAUUCAGUCAUCAAGGGCAACAAUGCAUGGAUCUGAUCAACAAAAAGGCUUUUAUAAAUCCAUUCUCUUCGGAAACAACUAUCUUAGCUAAUGUCGAAUCCGGUUUAGCUUUAAUCCCUUUGAAGGCGAUGUAACUCACAAUACGUGAAUGUUCACUCGUCAAAACCCACAUCAAAAAAGGGGGCCGGGAUAAAGGGGGACUCACAGGGGGUCUACAGGACUCAAAGCCUGUGGUGACGGGUUUCCCUGCGGCUGCUGCGGCGGAAUCGGGGCUCUGUCAUAUCUCCCCUCGCCCCCGGACUUCGCAUGCCUUUCAAUAAGAAGAUAAACCUCUAAAACCCGACAGACCCUCCUGAACUCCGUGAACAGCUCUGUCCCCCCCUUUCCCCCCCUUUCGUGGUCCGUCUCCCCCCUUUUCCCCCCGACCCCGUAUCCCUGCCCUCCCUUCAGCUCACAACACAACGGAGCUCCUAACAACCAAGUUAAGUCAACGUAACGCCAAGCGAAAGAGAUCCGCGCCGUCCGCCGCCGCCGGUGCCGCCGCCGGCGCAGUGGAAGGCACGGAGGACGGGGGAGGGGAGGAGGACAAGGAGGAAGCAACCGCUGGCGGGUCAGUGGCGGCGACCACCGCGGGCCGUGGUGGCGGUGGCGGCGCCGCCCCCUUCCUUCUCCGGAGGCCGCUGCGGCUGCCGGCCUGACGUGGUGUACGGAGGCCGUACUCGGCACCCAUUUCCCCGUGGGGGCCGAUGACGCCUGCGUGUCAGAGAAAGACGUCAAAACACAACAUCGACACGAUAAACACACAUAUCUACAUACACGCACACACUCUCUGUUGUCGUUAAGCAUACACGUGCACAGGCAUAAAGCGGGACAAGCAUAUGCAGGCUGUUAAGGAGGCUGCAUGCACGCGGGGGGUGAUACGCAGCCCAACCUCCCUAGUGGGUGUGCGCGCACGCGCAUGUAGUCUACACUCAAAUCAUCGUGUGGCGAAUUUCCCCCCGGGUACAUAUCACCUGGUUCGCCACCGUAGCGGAUCAUCCCGCCCUUCACCCCACGCCGUAUACCUCGCGACUGUAGCUACCAAGUUUCCGUCAUCUCCCCUUCCACCCCCACCCGCACCAACGCCCGUACCCGCACCCAUACCCACACCCAUACCCACACCCGCAUCCGCACCUCGCCUGCCUCGCCUGCCUCGCUGUCCGCCUUUCCUCUCUCACCUCCCAAUGGGCCCCCGCUAGCUCCGCCCCCCCCCACAUCCGAUAAACUCUCUCUCUCUCUCACCUGCCGCCCCCCCUAGCUCCGGAAUAUCGUCCGCGGGUCCCCCCCGGGUAUUCUCCGUACCGCUGCCCGCCACCUCACGAUCGUGCCGGGCUACCUUUUCAUGCAGCUGCAAACCCUCCCCCAGCUGCUCCUGAUGUACACUGCGGGUACGAGGGAGGUCGCCGACGGCGGGGUGGUGGUGGCGGCCGUCGCUGUCGUCACCGGCAGUGGCAGUAGUGGUGGUGGCCGGCUGCCGCCAGGCCUCGGUCGGGGACAAGCCCAGCGUGGUGGCUGUUGGGCCCGGGCUCGAAUGAGGGGUAGUAGCGCCUGCAGGAGGCGGGAAGGGUGUAUCGGACUCGUAAACAUGCAACAAACACAGCAGCACAUAUACACGCGGAUUACGAGCGGAAACUCUGUGGACAGAUGGAUACGUAGAACCGGGUCUGGAUGUGUGUGUAUUUGUGUGUGCGAGUGUAUGUGGGGGCCGAUCGAAAUACCGACCUAGUGACCCAUGGGUCACUGGUGCCGAUACGGGCGGCAAUUUUCAUCGGGACCACGACCUCUCUCCCCACUUCUCAAUGGUUUACAUUGCAUGGUCAGAGUCAAGCCCCCUGCCAAGUGAGGACUCGUGGCCGUGAGGGCGGACCGAGGGCCAGGGAGCUGCUGCGCAAGGCUUUUGCUGAGGAGCUACGACGGAAAAAGAUUCCUGUUUCGGGAUAUGGACCGCGCACCUACGAAUCACGGGCGCCUGCCGCAGCUUUAAAGGCUUGACCGAGCGCGCGCCUCAUCUUUCCUGAUCGCUCGCUUCCUUAGGCUGUUUCCCGGCAGUAAGAGGCCAAGGGAAAGGACUUUGAAAAGAGAAACUGUGCCCGCGCCUUUCCCGUGCCGCGGUUGUAUGCUGGAGAAAAAGCCUGAGGCGAGCUGGUAUGGACACACCCUUGCUCACUUGCACGGCGCUUACAACAAGUCCAAAGGAAAAAGUCUUCGCUAUUGACAGUUAGACAGAAGUGAUUUGAUACAGGACAGAUGACAAGGUCUAUAGGUCAAAGAUGGGUUGUAAGCCUGUAUGUAUACGAAAUGAGGCACCAUCGCGCCUGUACCCGCGUCGUACAGCAAAUCCGAAAAGGUAGCCUCGCCGCUGCGAGAUAUAGCAGGAAAUCGUGUUCAAUGCUUUCGCUGCAUUUGUUUCGGAAUCCCAGAUUCGCGAAACAAAAAUGCAUAAUCGUAAAUGAAAAUUUUUUGCAGGUCACCCGCAAGAAUCACCGCGCACACCAAACGCAGUGAUAAACGGGGCGACCACCACACGAAAAUAAACAGUCCACAAACAGCAAGACGACACGAAACGACACAUACAACGCCGCCCCUCUCCUGUCCCCCGUGGGCUUGCCACAAUUGGCUUUUAGCUCCAAUUUCCACCGGACAAGUGAAAUAUCUUUGACCGGCACACGCGUCGUCAAAAAGCACUGCACAAAGCAUCAUUGUAAUUCACCAUCGUCACAUAGUCAUAGCAUCCUGCGCUAGAGCCGUGACGAGGAUUUCCCUCCCAUCUGGUAGAAACUGCUCGCUUCUGAAGUAUCUUAUCGUCCAGUCACUGCUACCUUUAACUCCCCCUCCAAAGGCCACCGUAGAAUCCCCCAGUACUCUGCCACGAAAGAAAGAAGAAAACUGAUAGGACACUCGACAUCCAAUUCGCAGCUCGCGCCUUCUCAAUGCACAGCAUUAUGUACAUAACAUUAGUACUUAACUCCCUUACAAACCGUCGCUGCCCCGGUAGCACCUCCCCCUUCUCCAAAAACCCUACCCUAAGCACAACACCGCUUUGCCCCGCGCCCUGAGACCUUGGAGGCGGGAGAGCUGAGGAUGAGCGAGCGCAACGCAUCAUGCGCCACCCGAAUGUUCUGGAAGGAACCUAGGAUAUGAAUUCUCGUGUCCGCCAGCACGAUGCGAGUGCGCGUCGCAUUCUCAAUCGUAAAUUUGGUCUUGCCGUCCUGCGGCUGCGGCGCAUGGGGUUGAAAAAAGUGUAAAAGGGCAGCCAAGCAAUAUGGAGUACGAGAGUCAAAGAAAUGGCGGUAAAUCAGCCGGCGGAGUAGGAUGGCCCUUGGCUGGCAAAGAGGCUGGCAGGAGCUCAGGGACACAGGUCACCGGACUCUGCUUCCAUCCAGCGGGGCUGGCCAGGCAACAUUCCCAGCGCACAGCCCUAAAGCCCCUAAACCCUAAGUACAGGGGGGUCGCUGCUGCUCGGAACCAAACCAAGAUGCGGCUGGCUCUUAUCACAGCUUCCAGUCCACAGGCAGCACACUGCGGAGUUUUAGGCAGGCCAGUCGCUUUCACAUACUAAACUCUAUACCAAAAACGGUUUCUCAAAUGCUCUGUAGGGAGUAAUAGAUCUCGUAACAGCCAACUACCGGUAAACAACCGUAUCCCAACCGAAUCCACAACCAGCAACCACGACCCAGACCAGCUCUCGCCCUUUCUCAACCCCCAGCCCUCCUACUAGCCGUAAAGCCGUAGGCCAGAAAUGGCGUCAGGGGCUGUUCCAACCGUCCCUGUGCUGGCGCGGGGGGCGGGGCACCCCGCCUCACCAUCCCUAGGCUGGUCUUUCCCCACCGGCGCACUACCGAACAUCUGCUGGUAGGUGUCCUGGGAGGGUGGUGAUGCAUGCUUGUGCGCAUGUACAUAUGUAUGUGUUGAAGCAGUGGUGGGCGGUGUCUUUAUGUCCGGUUGCGGUGGGCAUUGUGCUGUUCUAUUGCCAACGUGGAGUGAGACAUUGGUUGUGUUUGUGUGUGCGUGGAAGGAAAGGGUUUUGUAACGAGGUAGCGGUGGUUGGAGUUGGGUGAGAGGGAGAGGAGGGAUGGUGGGUGCAAAGGUGCUGCCGGCGGGGUUCAGUCCUGGUGGAGCUAUGUGGCGGGUGGAGAGCAGUUUCCGGGACAUGCCGAGUAUCGAGUGUCACGUGUAGAUGUGUAUGCGGUUUUCUGCAUCAACCUCGCAACCACAUUCCCCCUCUUCCUGCCUCCCAGCGCCCACGGGGUCCUCUCUGUCGCACUCACGUUCCUUGCACAUGGAAGUGAUACAUGCAUACAUGCAUACAUAUUUACACAGGUAAACCACAACACACGCGGCAACCGAGCUAGCUAGCCGCCAUCACGACCGCCACACAGGGGCCCCCACCACACCCCCAGCUCACCAUGAGCUGACCGAUGCCCGACUAGAUCGUCUCGGUGAUGCCAUUGCCUGUCAUUCAGCUCAUUCGACCAACCAGACUAUUCCCCGCCGCCGCCGCCCCCACUGCCGCCCUGCUCAUCACCCGCGUGUUCCGCCGACCCCAUCGUCUCGGAAUCCAUGGUGCUGUGGGCUGUGGUGGCGGUGGCGGCACCGCCCCCUUCCUUCUCCGGAGGGGCGCCGCGGGCCAUGGUGGCGGUGGCGGUGCUGCCCCCUUCCUUCUCUGGAGGGGCGCCGCGGGCCGUGGUGGUGGUGGCAGUGCCACCGCCGCUACCGGCACCCCCUUCUGACGUGAUGGACCAUUGCCAGGAUUGCCAGGAUUGUAUAAAGUUGGUGGCACUAGGCAACAUCCAACACAUUUUUAAUGCAGACCCGAACACAUCACAAAAAUGUACAAUGGAAAGGCUUUAUGUUGAAUCUGUUUAGAUAUUAACCUCUGAGCAGCAGCAUUAGUGUUGGAACCCCAAUUCAGGUAAUCCACCUCCCUAUGUGCACCACAAGCGAGGAAGCGUAUGACAUGCAUGUUCAAGUACAAUAAUCCAAUGUGAGGAUGUAUGCUGUACAUGCAUACAUACAGACAAAUGCACCCAGCCAUGACCCACCCAGCCCUCACCUGCCAUCACCACUGCCACCCAGCCCAUUGCCUCCAUCUUCUCUUCCACCCAGCCCUCACCCACCAUCACCACUGCCACCAAGACCUAUCCCCUUGCUGUCUGCUGCCCCCUGUCCUACCCUGCACAGGUACCACUGCCGGUCCCCGGCCAUGGUACUGCCUCAUCCCACCCUUCCCAUCUGCUCCUUGAACAGCACAUGGCUGUUAACCUUCUUCACCAUUUAAGCAUCCAAUUGACAGUCGCCAGCACAAGCACAGAUGCUUUGGACUAAUGCGCCUGCAGCACUACAGGAAUAAAGCAGGUUCUCCUUGUCGUGCACAUUGCACUACUACCCCUGAGGUGUGUCUGCUACUACAUGGCUACACCUGCUUCAUACGCCUUUUAAUACUGCUCCCCAGCAUGCAUGAUUACACAAUGACCUGCAGCACCACAGACCCCAUUGCAUCCAUCCAGAAGCCAAUUCCACUCCCAGCAGCCAGAAGACACAUCAGCUGCAUGCUGUGCAUAGCUGUCAGCAGCAGCCGGUAGGGGCACCCUCAUCUGGGUAGCCGUAGCACUAUUGCUGCUGAUGGUGCAUAGAGCGAGCGCUGCACAUGCACGCGUGGUGCAAGUGUGGCUACCCGCAGCCCUCCCUGGCCCCACAUCCCAUGCCUGCCUGUGGUGUGAACCAGCAGCCCAUGCUGACCACACCCCGCCGCUGGGCCCAGGCACACUGGUGGGCAUUUGUCAGACAUCGCCAUUACACCACUGCUGCCACACCGGGCGCUGCUGCUGCCGCUGCCAUGCCAGGUGCCACUGUGGCCGUUGGGCUGGGUGCCACUGCAGCCAUUGGGCUGGGUGCCUCUGUGGCCGCCAGGCGGGGUGCCUCUGCGGCCGCCAGGCUGGGUGCCUCUGUGGCCACCGGGCGGGGUGCCUCUGCGGCCGCCGGGCGGGGUGCCUCUGCGGCUGCCGGGCGGGGUGCCUCUGUGGCCGCUGGGCGGGGUGCCUCUGCGGCCACCAGGCUGGGUGCCUCUGUGGCCACCGGGCGGGGUGCCACUGCUGCUGCCAGGCUGGGUGCCACUGCUGUUGCCAGGCUGGGUGCCACUGCUGCCCCCAGGCCGGGCAUCACUGCUGCCACCAUGCUGAGCACCACUGCUGCUGCCGCCAGUGCUGCCACUCAGGCCACCACUGCUGCUGCCCUCAUCAUCAGUCAACCCCUCAAUGCUGCCGCCACCGCUGCCUGAUAGCUGUGCACAAAACUGCAUGUCCUUUUCCAUGGUGUGGCAUGACAGCACACGCAGCACCCUCACGAUGUCUUCAUUGAAGUCAAACAAGGACUGUCCCAGCACCAUGGGCAGUGCCUCGAUUACAUCCACAUCCACCGGGAUGUUGUGCUCCUGAUCCCAAGGCUUCACAUGGACCAGCAUGUUCCGGCUCAGCCUGCACAUGUGGAUACCAGGCAGCAAUUAACGGGUCUGGGUCAGAUGCCCAUGGGUCUCUGGCUCAGCCAGCAAAUGGUAUUCAGCACACUCCAACAAGGCUGCAUGGGUGAGGCAGCAAGUAGCAAGAAGGGAAGCAGGACAGCCAGCCAGCCUACCGCAGGUAGAACACCAGCAUGGCCAGGUGAGUGCACCGUGCCUGCUUGUAGUCAUUUUGAAGUCGGUCAUUCCACUUCGAUGACAGCACCUUCUGGAACCAAGACUGCCGCUCCCACAGUUCCUGAAGGCCCAACACCAUGCCACCCUGGUCGCUUGCCAACUUGGUGGCGAUCUCGUCUGCAAUGGCCUGCAUGCAUGAGUGUUUGAUGUUGCAUGUUGAGUGUAUGGAGUACAUGGGGUAUAAGAGUGUGUGUAGGCUUGUAUGUAGGUGUUAGCCACUGGUAACUAUCUGGACAAGCCUGAGAAUCAAUUCACCAAUUGACAGGCAUCCUGCCAGCACACACAUAACCCAUAAAAGGCAUCGCAAUAUGUGCAGGAUGCACACUGCAACAGAGUGGUGACACAAGACUUCCAAAUAGCAUAGAAGGGCGCCAACACCCACACCUCCACAAAGAUAGGAGCUGCAAUGGAGACUCACCAAUGGACAACUACACUGCGGUGCAAGCACAAACUUCUACAUAAGGCCCCAUUCUACACAAACACCAUCUGCAUGUAGUGCUUCUCCCAUCUAAAUCUGACCCCAAGCCCUGCAGCCUAUGGGAUUACCUGCAACUUAGCCGUAAACUCAUCCAUCCCAGCUGGUGGCUUUUCUUGCUCCCACCGGCGGCUUGCACGGGGCCCAAGCAGGUAGUCGGCUGCCUCACCAAGGCGGAGUAGGUUCACCAUCGUGUCCAAUUGCAUUAGGGUGGCACUGAACUCCAGGCUGCUCCAGCUGUCCCGGAGUGUGCCAUCCUGGUUGAUCACCAACUGCGGGCAAGCAGGGCAAGGGUGGCAUGGCAUGCACUUAGCACCAACAUGGGAAGGGGGGCCCACAGCAAAACAGGGAAACAGGCUGAUACAUAAGCGCAGUUGAGCUUGCCCCAGAACUGAGCUUUUGCUGUGUUUAGUCAGCUCUAUGGGGCGGGGUAGAAGGGGCUUGGGCACAGGGUUCGACACUGACCUUCCUGAAACUCGCGGGCUCCCCUGUACCUCCCAAAUUUUCCUUACGGAGGGGCCCCCGUACCAGGCUCCUGUACCGGCCGAAAACCUUAGGGGGCCCCCAUAACCCCCGCAAAACCUUUACAGAGGCACUGUCCUUGGCUGAAACGCUGUGGAAAGUGACGCUUUGCAUUAUUUUGCCCUGUAAAUCGUUAUUUUCGUUAUUUUCUCGUGAACCAUUACACUCGGGGACACGGCACACUCAGCCAAGCACCAUGGCUGGUACAGGAGCCUAUAACACAUUCAGGCCUGCGGUUCUUGUCAAUCAGCUUCGAGUCCCUACCCUACCUUCUUUGCAAGGCUUAUCAUCUACUUUCUUUGUGGGAACAGGUUGGCUUGCAGGCUUUCCACCUGCGUCCGGAGAUCGGCGAGGAGUGGCUACAACCAGCUCCGUUCCCAUGAUAGAUGAGCGAGCUUACCAGAGCCCCAUAGGUCCGACAAUUUUAAGGUGGCGUGCUUCUUGGAGGGCAGGGUGGAUUAGGAGGCCCUUGGUCACCUCCUGACGACUCAUUGUCUGCCAUCACUGGAUGUUACAGACCAGAAGCUAUAAAAGAAUUAUGAAAAGUGUAGUUAAAUAUUGCAAUAUGAAUUAUGUCUGCCAAGUGUGUGGCCUUAUCCUUUAUAUGGUCCGUCCUCUCCCUUACAGGGCCCCGUACAGCCUCUUAUAAAUCCUUAAAAUCCUUACAGGAGCCACUGUAACCGGCCUUCGGCUGGUCCGGGGGCGGCCCCCUACAGGGGCGCUUCACGCCCCAAAAUCGUUACGGGAGCCACCGUAAAGUCCUACGGGCCCUGAUGGGGAUACCGAACAAAGGCCAAAAACUUACGGGCCCCGUACAGGGUGUCGAACCCUGCUUGGGCACAUGGUGAAAGACCAUCCCUCACCCGCGCAAUCUGACGCUGGUGCAGGUCGCGGAAGUAGUAGCACCCAUCCGUCUUCCUCUCCAGGUGUGGCUCCAGGAAUUGCUGUAAGCCAGGGUGCAGAUUUGUGUCAAGCCGCGCCCCCACAUCUGGAAACGCCAAGUCCAGCACAGCAAUGUGCUGCGACAAUGGCAUGCCCUCCAGGCCCAGCUUCCACUCCUUUCGUGACUGAGGUACAUAGUGAGAUUCAAUGGGUGGGCGCCAGAUAAAAACGCAAGAUUUGAGAUGAGCAGUAGUGGGUCCAGCCAUGAAGGAUUGGUGCAGCCAGCUCUAAAAAAUGCCAGCUCUACAGCAACUGGCCCCAGUUCAUGAAGACGACACAGACACUGCUAAGCUGAAGCACACAGAGGCCCUGAGAUGGGUGUGCCGCAGGUUACCUCGUCAAUGAGCUUCAUCCUCAUGAAUCCAUGGACAAAGGCUGCCACAUCCAGGCCUAGGGGGGGUAGAGCAUCAAUCCAGUCCUCCACCAGGACUGUCAGGAGCGCUAUGGAUGGAGGGCAGAGCUCCAGCAGCUUGGGGUCCAGCUGCACUCCGGCCUUGGAGCUCUUCAGCAGCUCCCAUGCCAAGCUCAUGUGCUCGGGCCUGUAGGUUGCCGGUAGGUUCACGGCACUGGCACCAGUGAUGACUGUGUAGCCAUUGGGUGGCAUGUUGGCCAGGCUAAUCCAGGUCAGCACCAUGGAGCUGCCGGUUAUGCACCACAGCAUGGUGUGGGAGCCAUACACCAGCAGUGGCUUCAUGAAUGAGUCCCGGAUGUAUGCAGCCCCACUUGCAUCCAGCUUGCCAUCAAUGGUCGGCAGGAACAGGCUCUGCAUUUCGUCUGAAUGGCAGGGAUAAGGAGGCAGGCAGCGACACAGCAAGGGGGCGGAUUAAGAGUAUAUUGUUGGAGAUUGGAAACACCAGGACAGGGGACCAAACAAGUACUGCGAGGCUCAGCCCAGGUGCAGGUGUGUUGUAUUCGCUUCUUAAAUCUGGUCCCAAACUGAUACAUUUUUCUGUCUUAUUUUUCCUUUCUCGCUUGGUGCGGUUGCUGGACAUGUUUGCUGGAACUAACUGAAUUCCAACUGCCUAUUUUGCCACUUUUUCUGUCAGAUCUUUAUGGCUCCAACCUCUGGGUCAGACGGCGAGCAGGAUGCUGUCAUGGAUGCUUACAAGUAAAUGCCACCUCAGGUGGAAGUCCAUACUUGCAGAAGUAUGGGCGGGGGUCCUAGCACAGGCUACGACUGGGACGCUGGUCCCUGGCUCGCAGAGCCCCAUCAUCAAUUGGAAGCAUGGAUCAACGGUACACCAUUCUGGGACUGGACCACGCCUUUUCGGAAUUGGCUGUACGAUUCAUGGGAUGGCUGCAUCCUCCGCUACUUAAGCGGGCGAAACUCUUCCAAAUCAGUGUGUUCCGAUGCCACCAUCCAGUUGUGGUUGAGUAAGAUAUAACAAGGUGCAGCCGGUCUAGUAAAAGCUCCAGAAGCACAUUGAAGCAGGAUGAGGGGGGCGAAGUGUCGGAUGCACAAGUUGUUGGUAUACCCAAAGGGGUGUAGUGAAAGGAGCAAGCAGAAUUGGCUUGUGUCCCCCUUCACCCAGAUGUUUGUGCAGUCAAACAUGCAGCAUGCACUUCUUAAAAUCAAAAAUGGUAAUGGGGCUUGCGACUUGCACCUGCACAUCUGCAUGCCCAUGGUUGUGUAAAGCAAGCAAGUUGCUGCAUGAGAAUGGCAUAGUUUGCCAUGCAAAAUGAUACAGCAAGCAACCAAAAAAGCCAUUCAGACCCAGCAAUUCAAGAGAGAGAAACCAGGCGAAGAAUCCAGGAGCCUGUGAUAAAGCCUCCAUCAGCAUGACCCCAUACCGCAUAACACGAGCACCGGCACCUCCACCGCCUUAAGGAACUCCCGGAUGGUGUGGCCCAGCAAGCCAGGGUCGGUGCUGAAGAAGUGCCGCACCAGCACAUCCUCUGCAGCCUCCAGAGCACCCUCCCGCAUGGGAACAUGCUCCUUGCGUGCCCAACUCAGCAGCACACCCAGCAGGUCCAGCAACAUGGCUUUAGCACCUUCCUGCGUGCAGGGUGUUGACAGAGCACACCAUUUGAGCCACCACCCUCACAGCCAGCUCCCAUUACCAUCAUGCACAAAUCAAGCCUUCUGCAACCAAUGCCUCUGCAGCACAGUCAUGGCAUGCUCACAGAAGCAGCAUAAUGGAAUGGAAGUGCUUCAGCAGCCUUGAGAGUGUGUUCCAAUAUUUAACACCCACUUGCCUGCCGAUGCAGCAGACCACAGUUCAGGCGCAGGGCCACCAUGCCUGCCAGGGGGCCCUCCCCUCCCUGCUGGCGCAGCACCUCCACCACCACUGCAGGAACCACAUGCUCCAGGGUGAACGACUUGCCCGUCUGCAACAUGCAUGUGCAUUGAUAAGAGGUCAUAGGGCUACUCAAGUGUUGCGUGGUCCUGUGCUGUGGCACCGACAUGGAGUCACACUGUGGCUAAAGAUACCUAGGAUGGGAGGUACAACACAACAGCGUACCUUGACAAGCCCUGAGACCAGCAAGGGUGAGGGGGCUUUAGCCCGGUCUUUGUCCACCGCGUCACUCAUGGCCAUUUUAGCCCAUAAGCGGAUACAAUCCACCACCCUCACUUUGUCCAUCCUUGCAGUGUCCACCCUCGCCACAUCUAUGUAUGACACCACUGAGUCGCUGUAAUGCAGCUCCACAAUAUCAUUGUUGUUGACCUUGUAGUGCAGCUUGGCCGCACUAUCCACCAGCCGCCUUGGAGCUCGUGCACCUGCACCAUCACCCAGGGGGCAGGGCACAAGGUUGCUGGCAAGGUAAAAGGGACUUGCAGGACAGUUGGCAGUGGCAACCGUGUUGCACACUUUACCCCUGUGCUAGCUGCAUGCACAUCUCGAAAGUGAGGUCACUGUCGUUUGCCAAAUCGAUUCUUUACAUGUGUCUUAAAACCCUGCAAAGUACACUCACCAGCCCCUGCCAGGAUCCCCAGGCCCAGGCCAGCUGCCGUGCCUGCAUGAUGUGGGAGCGGCCAAGGAGCACAUGCAGGUGAAAAGUUGCAUGCCGCUGCACAUGCUUGCUGCACAUGCUUGAUGCAGUCCGGUGUGCAGGGUGAGAUGGGGGGUUGGGCAUGAAAAUCCUGAUACACAGCAGAGGGGGGGUGCUCAUUUCAAGCACUAGGGCAUGCCAACCCAGGAUGCUUCAGUAUUGCAAACCAAUACAAUGCAUGCUACAACAACUUCAACGUGAGCUUUGAUGUUGUGCUGCUGCCACAACAGCGGUUGGCAUUCAGCCUAUGUUGUGCUGUGUGAGGAAGUCUCCUCAUCCCCAAUCAACCAUAUGCCAAUCCAUACCCUACAGCAUCAUGAACAUGCUCACUGGCAGCCACAGGCAGCAAGCCUACAAGGGGAGGAAAGUAGAACGGAUCCCAGUGAGAUGGCUGGUUUACCCAUGCCAUGGGCAAACAACAAAUCCAGGCAGGCGGCUGGCAGAGGUUAAGGCCUGACUUCUGCUCCCAGUCGACCCGGGUUCAAAUCCACCUGCCAACCUCUAGGGUGUUUGAGAGGUGGUGAAAUGGGAGGUGGCCCCCCAUCUUGUGGACGGUGUAGGACGUGAUAAAAUCAACUUGCAAGCUGACCAGGAACUAAGUUGAGGCACUGUUGUUCCGUUAGAUUUGGUUGGAUGCUAGUGGUGAGUUGCCAAACUCAAAGAGUACACUCUGAAGUCAGAUGGGGUGAAUGGCUUAGGGCAAAAUGGAAAAUUCUCUAAAAUGUCUCCAACACAAUCUUCACAUGUGAAGCCCUCAGCAGGCCACACAACAAAGGGUCUGACCUUUUCAAGAGCCAGGAGUGCUGGUGGGAUAAGCAUUAUGCGUGUGGAAAAUUCGCGGGCAUGCUUUGACAGACCCCGGAUUGGCUGCUGUGCGGACCGGCCAGCAGGUUGCCCCUGCUACUGUCUGCAUCCGCAGGUCAUUUGGCAUGCAGGAGUCCACAGAACUAUUGAACUGCUUAAUAAUGGCUGCUUACAAAUUGCGAGAACAAAAACAAAUGAAAGAAGAAAGACAAUUAAUAAAAAAAGAUACACACCAAUAUAAAAGAUAGCUCUGACUUCCACUGGAGAAUAGAAUAUUCGCUUGCUUGACUUGCUGAGUGCAGCCUUCAUAAGCAGCAGCAGGCAUGGGCAGUGUACACCGCAUUGAGGAGCGCUGCUAGGUCGCACGGUUCCUUGAAUAAUCACCAAGCAGCAUUAAGCCUGGGCAUAUGCAGCUUCGGUCAGCACGGCAGGUUGAUGAUAGCUGCACACUGUUAUCAAGACAUGCAACGGUUGCUGCAUGUUGCUGGCGCGUCAGGUAUGCUACACAGCACCCUCUUGCAGCAUGCGUUGCAGGCCUGAAAGGAAAGACUGGUAUCAAAAGCUUGCAGUCACCACAGCCGCCCACUUGUUUUGGGGCCUAAAGACCUGCCUAAAUCCCUACAACCCUACUGUGUGCCACGGUUCUACAAACUUUUGUGUCGUGCACAGUGCCAGGGCGCCAUACAUUUUCCCCUUUUCAACGUGUGUGUAAACGGUUGUGAUGUGCAUCCGGCUGCCUGAACAAGCUCUCCAUAUCCCCACUGCUAGCAGUGGCUUCCAUCCACCCACAGAACACUUCCACAUACACACACAUGCCUGUGCCGCCUUUCCUUCAGACUGCAGUUUUCUCACUACCAUUGCCAUCAUGCAUGUUAUGCACAGCAAGCCACUUUCACCACCAUACGGCAGCAGCUGGCUGCAGUCAUUGCGGGCACCCUAUGAAGCUGCAAUGACCACAGCCAGCUGCUUCACCAGAAACCCACGAUGAUUGAAGUCUUCUUCUGUUACCCCAACACUUGCAACUUCACGUACUUUAUAAACUCUGGUGAUAUUGCUUUCGGAUAUCUUUUUCUAUUACUAAAACUUCGCAACCCUGCAUGACCAAGACCUUGGCCUUGGUGUGCCUUUGUACUGAAGCAAUGCAAAAAUCAAGUCAGACUCACCAGCAACAACGCCUGGGCCAGCUGUAGCUGCAGCUGCACAUUAAGGAGAAACGAGAGGGAUGCACAAUUGACAUCAUUAGUUGCUCAACAAUGGGAACGUGUUCAUAGCAGCAGUUAGCAGUCAGCACUCAGGCUGGAUACGAUCAUUUAAGCAAUCAUUCAAGGUUGUGUAGACACGACCGGUAUGUCAUAGUUAGUCAUGGGAGCCCAGGAAAUACCCUAAAACUGCAAUAUGACUAAAAAGAGUCAGCAUGUGUGCAUGUACCAAGGAAAUAUAACCCCUGCGUUUGUUUUUCCGCAGCAAAAUGAUUUGCACCUCAUGCAGGUGCACCUGUCUGGGUGUACCUCCCCUCCAAGAAGAAGGAAAGGCGUCAGCUGUGUGUCACUCAAGACAUACACUACAACAAUCGAAUAACAAGCAUUGUUCCCAUGUACAGCGGGUGUUUCCAUCACAGCGGGUGUUUCUAUCGCGAACACAAACAAGCAAACUGGUGCUCGUCGGGAGCCCAGUCACAGGCCCAGCCGCAGCGAAAUGACGAACCCGAGAAACUCCCAACCCAGUCUAGGAAUGCGCUGAGCUUCCACAAGCAGCCAAGUUUGCCGAUGCAUGCCUGUUUUGAUUGCCUCCUUCAAGGCGUUGCGUUGCCGGAGAUUAAGUUGCGAUCGUAGGUCAUUUACGUCGAGACAACGAAAUGCGCCUCCUGCCUCAGCGUUCACAUCGUAACCCUCCCUUUCAAGAACUUGGAGUAUGGGAGCUAUCGAGGCCUCAGUCUCUCCGUCGACUGCAGCGAUCGCUUCACGCAGAGUCGGCAUUGGAGCAGAAGUUCUGCGAGGCUACACCACAUCGGAUCCUAUGGCAUGUCUCAUGGCUGACCCUGCUAGCGCAAAAGCUCGUCCGCUCUCAACCGCAACGCUUAAACAAAGUGAAGAGAUAAGGCUGGGCUUGUUUCUGCGGUUAGCUGUAAAUAAAAUUGUUUGGAUUGUGGCGGCGCAUCUCUGUGGAGCUGUGUUGUGAAGGCAAGACGCCCGGGGGGCCCUGACUCGAAGUGAGCCCCACCCUGGAGUUAGUUGGUACCGCUUUCAUGUACUUCCUCAAACAAACUGCUUGUCUAAUACUGUGAUGUUUUAUUUGUUAUAUUCAAGUAAACUGAACUGAACUUGCAAGGCGCCACCGCAGUUGCCGGUGCCAUGAAAGCGCGACCGUCCUGGGACACAGCAUCAGGCCCAGAAAUACACUUAUAGGGUUACAGAAAACAUAGCUGUAAACAGAAAUAAACAAAGCCAUGGAGUUUGUCCUGGACCCGCGCCAUCUGCUUGCAUCGCGAAAACCACGCGUCGCGCGCCGCAAUGCCAGUAAAGUUUGCCAUGGCCACAAAACAGCAAAGCAAAACAUACAUUGUUAAAACAAACAACAACGGGGAUAACGGCUCGACGGUCAACACCCUCGCUCGCGGUUCAGUUUCUAAAAACAUAUACCCCGCCGGCGGACGGUCCCCUGUCCGCAACGCCGUACAUCCUGACCGUUCCAGCGGACGCCUAGCGGACGGUCAUGGAAACGAUGGUCCAAAGCUCCAAAACAUCUGUAUGUAGAUGAUUCAUGAGACGCUAAUAAUUAAUGCUCCAGCUUGCACUCCUUGGCAAGCAAUAAACGCGCAAAACACUCGCCAGGAGAAACUAACCCCAAAAUUGUGACGCACAUAGUCAAAAGACUUCUAGCAUAAAAGGAGAAAGCAAUCGAAAGAAAAAAGACAACAUCCCAAGGCGCGCGGCGGACAUUCUAAUGACCUGUUUAUGUAACCUGCUUAAAUAACACCAACGCACUGGAACAAUUGAAUCAUGCAAUAAGGUCAUUGCAAUGGCCACAAGCACUGGGCAUUAGUGAAAGGGAUUCAGCAAAGACUGACCGUAACGCCCAACACGUCGUUCCAUCCCUUUGUCGGCUCUGAAUGGCACAAUGAAUGCUCUACUGGGUAAAUGAUCAUUUGGCGGUGGAAAGAGGCCAUUGUAUGGCAUCCGAGCUGGCGCACAGCUUGCGCAUGUCCCCAAGACCCAACACGGCACCACGCCCCGCACCCGGUUACGCCCUUGUCCUGCAUUCCACCUGCCAGCCUGUCUGUGCAACACAGCGCAUGGCGGGCAGGCCAACGAAGCCAUACCAAAGUUUCGUUCAAGACUGGGGUCCCAAGCUCUCAGAAUCCCAGGCUGCCAGGCUCCCAGGCACACAGGCUCCCAUGCACACAGGCUCUUAGAAUCCCAGGCUCCCAGGCACACAGGCUCUUAGAAUCCCAGGCUGCCAGGUUCCCAGGUUCCCAGGCUCCCAGGCACACAGGCUCCCAGGCUCUUAGCAUCCCAGGCUGCCAGGUUCCCAGGCUGCCAGGUUCCCAGGCUGCCAGGUUCCCAGGCUGCCAGGCACACAGGCACACAGGCACACAGGCUCCCAGGCUCCCAGGCACAAAGUCUCUUAGAAUCCCAGGCUGCUAGGUUCCCAGGCUCCCAGGCACACAGGCUCCUAGAAUCCCAGGCUGCUAGGUUCCCAGGCUGCCAGGCACACAGGCUCUUAGAAUCCCAGGCUGCCAGGUUCCCAGGCUGCCAGGUUCCCAGGCUGCCAGGUUCCCAGGCUGCCAGGUUCCCAGGCUGCCAGGUUCCCAGGCUGCCAGGUUCCCAGGCUGCCAGGCACACAGGCUGCCAGGCACACAGGCACACAGGCACACAGGCUCCCAGGUUCCCAGGCUCCCAGGCACACAGGCUCCCAGGUUCCCAGGCUCUCAGAAUCCCAGGCUCCCAGGCACACAGGCUCUUAGAAUCCCAGGCUCCCAGGCACACAUGCUCUCAGAAACCCAGGCUGCCAGGUCCCCAGGCUCUUAGAAUCCCAGGCUUCCAGGCACACAUGCCCUUAAAAUCCCAGGCUGCCAGGUUCCCAGGCUCCCAGGCACACAGGCUCCCAGGCACACAGGCUCCCAGGCAAACAGGCUCUUAGAAUCCCAGGCUGCCAGGUUCCCAGGCUGCCAGGCACACAGGCACACAGGCACACAGGCUCCCAGGCUCCCAGGCACAAAGGCUCUUAGGAUCCCAGGCUGCCAGGUUGCCAGGUUCCCAGGCUCCCAAGCACACAGGCUCCCAGACUCUUAGCAUCCCAGGCUGCCAGGUCCCCAGGCUCCCAGAUUCCCAGGCUCUCAGAAUCCCAGACUCCCAAGCACACAAGCUCCCAGGUUCCCAGGCUCUCAGAAUCCCAGGCUCCCAGGCACACAUGCUCUCAGAAACCCAGGCUGCCAGGUUCCCAGGCUCUCAGAAUCCCAGGCUUACAGGCACACAGGCUCCCAGGCACACACGCUCUCAGAAUCCCAGGCUCCCAGGCACACAUGCUCUCAGAAUCCCAGGCUGCCAGGUUCCCAGACUCUUAGGUUCCCAGGCUCCAAGGCUCCCAGGUUCCCAGGCUUACAGGCACACAGGCUCCCAGGCACACAGCCUCUUAGAAUCCUAGGCUGCCAGGUUCCCAGACUCUUAGGUUCCCAGGCUCCCAGGUUCCCAGGCUCUCAGAAUCCCAGGCUCCCAGGCACACAUGCUCUCAGAAUCCCAGGCUGCCAGGUUCCCAGACUCUUAGGUUCCCAGGCUCCCAGGUUCCCAGGCUCUCAGAAUCCCAGACUCCCAGGCACACAGGCUCUUAGAAUCCCAGGCUUCCAGGCACACAGGCUCUUAGAAUCCCAGGCUUCCAGGAACACAUGCUCUUCGAAUCCCAGCCUCCCAGGCACACAGGCUCCCAGAUCCCCAGGUUCCCAGGUUCCCAGGCUCUCAGAAUCCUAGGCUCCCAGGCACACAGGCUCUAAGAAUCCCAGGCUGCCAAGCUCCCAGGUUCCCAGGCUCUCAGGUUCCCAGGCUCUUAGAAUCUUAGGCGCACAGGCACACAAGCUCUUAGAAAGCCAGGCUGCCAGGUCCCCAGGCUGCCAGGUUCCCAGGCUGCCAGGUUCCCAGGCUGCCAGGUUCCCAGGCUGCCAGGUCCCCAGGCUGCCAGGUCCCCAAGCUCCCAGGUCCCCAGGCUGCCAGGUCCCUAGGCUGCCAGGUCCCCAGGCUGCCAGGUUCCCAGGCUGCCAGGUCCCCAGGCUGCCAGGCCCCCAGGCUGCCAGGUUCCCUGGGGACCUGGCUGCCAGGUCCCCAGGCUGCCAGGCUGCCAGGCACACAUGCACACAGGCUCCCAGGCACACUGGCUCUUAGAAUCCCAGGCUGCCAGGUUGCCAGGUUCCCAGGCUCCCAAGCACACAGGCUCCCAGACUCUUAGCAUCCCAGGCUGCCAGGUCCCCAGGCUCCCAGAUUCCCAGGCUCUCAGAAUCCCAGGCUCCCAAGUAAGCAUGCUAUCAGAAACCCAUGCUUACAGAAUCCCAGGCGCCCACGCUCCCACGUUCCCAGGUUCCCAGGCACACAGGCUUUUAGAAUCCUAGGCUUCCAGGCACACAGGCUCUCAGACACACAGGGUCCCAUGCACACAGGUCGCCCAUGGCUGCGGUCCAAGCCUGGCCCCAACCGCCAGAUAAAUAUGCUCCUACAUCUAAUUGACUUAGCCGAAUGCUUGUUUUAGCUUUGUUUACAUUUCAUGCAUUUGCUGGCAAGUCGCAAAUUGGCGAUUUCAUGGUGUAAUGGAUAAACCAGCGCACUGGCGCGAGGUGGGAUGGCUCCUGUGCUCGAAAUAAUGGCCGAGGACGUCCAUUGCUAAAGGGGGGGCAAUGUAACGACGCAAGGCCCAACUGAGCAUCCCGGGUUACGCCUUUGCUGUGUUACACCUAGCGCUUGCAACGACGUAGCCCCCAGUAUAGCACAUUGCAUUACAUUAUCCAUGAAAAGAUUAUAAAGCUUUAUGGCUGGUUGCAUAACAAAUUGCGGGUGCGAGGUGACUGCUUGCAUAACAAAUUGCGGGUACUGCUAAAGUUGCAAGUCGCAAGUCGCAAGUCGCAAGGAACACGCAAAAUUUCUAUAUGAAAUUCUAUAUACGCGAAUACGUGCGUGAACCACGCCUGUAGGGUGUAAACAGAUAGCAUUUGCGGCGUCCGCGUCUGCGGGCUAUGGCCGAUCGCAGGCGUAACUAUGCUGAAGUGGCUUGCGGCCUAUGUGGCUUCGUCUGUCUGAGCAGUGCAAUGUAGCUGUCUGAGCAAUGCAAUGUAGCUGUUCAUACGCACAAGCUCACUCAGGCCUCAUCUAGUUCUUAUCAGUAUUUGCUUAAUGUAUCUCAUCAAGUUCUUAGCAGUAUUUGCUUAUGGGCCUUCUGGUGGGGUUCCGAGGACUUUUGCCAAUCGGGGAGUCUAAUUGCAAAUUCCCCUGUGGUUGCGGGUUCUGAGCCUGCCCUUGGAUUUGCUUUUGGAUGUCUAGGUGACUUGUGUUGUCUGGUCUGGGUGGGAGUCUUGUUUGCCCUCAUCGUAUCAGGUGCAGUGCACGGCCUGCUGGCCCGCUGGCUGUACUCUUUGUGAGUCUGGAGCCCACUGUAACAACCACACUGCCUCGAGGCAUCCCUAGCCCCGGCGGUGGACUGAUAGGAACUAGCCUAGUCCGCACAAGUUCCACACAAGUGUGGGGGUGUCCGUAAGAGCUGGGGGGCCCAUGGGCGGUAAAUCGUUUUUAGGGCGGUUUUUGGUGGACCAUCAUCGUCCACCCUCGUCCGCUUGAGCACGGAGCGCCUUAGAGCAACAUGCCGGGUCCCAGACUUCCGAGAGGAACCUGGCUAGUGCCAGGGGUGGGGCCUCGGUCAUAAUGGUGUGCAUGUUGCACCCUUGAAACACGAGGUCACGUUCGCCCGUGUACUAAUGUACGCCAGGCAUUCCACAAAGACAUGCAUUUUGUCUUCAACCGCCCCGCAGUCACAAAGCCUGCAGGUGCACGCUGUGCACUCAUGGCCAUUAGGUUGGUUAAUCUCUAACUCCCAACAGCCUAACCGGAAACAUAUAAGCAUUUGAUGCAAACAUUGGGGCAUGGCGAUUUCAGGUGGUCAUUAUGGAUUUCAGCACGAACAAUGAACCCUGCCCGCUCCCCCUGGUCAGUUGUGGGCAAGCAUCAGAGAAUCGGGUGAGAGACCGAGCUUUCUAUUAGGGCCUGGUGCCUUAAUAGGGAGGGGUAGGGUCUGUACAGGGUUUCCAGGUUUCCUCGGUCUUCUUGAACCUUCACCCCAAGAGCCAGUCUUCUUGUGUGUUUCAGGCUCAGUGCUCAAACUCGCGUGACGGAGCCUUGACCCCCGGGGGAGGAGAGCGGAACUAGUGGACUUGCGGCUCUCGGCUGCCUAGGAGGGGACAGAGGCCCCUUACGCCCCUCUCCUGUCUGCGGGAGGAGCUUAGGUGGUCUUUCUGUUGGGGCUGGGCAGCAGUCCCUGGCCAGUUUCAGGCACGGUCAAAUACUUGCAACACACGCACACGCACACACACACACACGCACACACACACACACACACACACACACACACACGCGCGCGCGCGCAAAAGCUCACGAGAUUGAAAUGAAUUGUUACAGAGUGGGAGGCUUCUGGGCCAUUUGAACAUAUUGUCACACAAGCUCGCGAUAUGCCAGCUGAACUGAUUCCCUGGUAAAAACCUUCUUGCGGACGAACCCAGCUCAGGCAAUGCACGGCUAAUAUCAGGGCCGCUCCAAAGAGUGCCCAGUAAGUUUGUCAUAGCGGUGGCCAGAUCGGAGAGCGAUGCUUGGUCGUCGGCCUGCACCAGCUCCACCAGCGUCUGUGCAGCGAUCUCAUCAAACUUGCGUGGUUUGCGUGUUCCUGAUUGUCCUCUAAGCGGCAGGACAUCGCCAUUCGCCACGUAGGACUGUAUGAUAGCAUGCACAGUCCUCUCGCAAGGUCUGUGCCCGAAAGCCUCAGCUAUUUGCGCUUGCGUGUAACCCUCGUCGAAAUAGAGGUGGCAAACACGUUCGCGCACUUGUUUGCUGUAGUAGUAACGGUUCAAUACUUCUCCCAUUGUGAGAUCCGCUCUACAAACUGAGUAUGCACACGUACGUAUUCGCGUAUAUAGAAUAUUAUAAUAGAAAUUAUGCGUGUUCCUUGCGACUUGCGACUUGCAACUUGCGACUUGCAACUUGCCAAAUACAGAAGUACGGAGGGCCCUAUGCCAACCACGGAUAUCACACCAGGACGAGACAGUCCGAGUUUUGGCCAUUCCAGCACAGAAUGCAGAGUCAGACAACAGNNNNNNNNNNNNNNNNNNNNNNNNNNNNNNNNNNNNNNNNNNNNNNNNNNNNNNNNNNNNNNNNNNNNNNNNNNNNNNNNNNNNNNNNNNNNNNNNNNNNNNNNNNNNNNNNNNNNNNNNNNNNNNNNNNNNNNNNNNNNNNNNNNNNNNNNNNNNNNNNNNNNNNNNNNNNNNNNNNNNNNNNNNNNNNNNNNNNNNNNNNNNNNNNNNNNNNNNNNNNNNNNNNNNNNNNNNNNNNNNNNNNNNNNNNNNNNNNNNNNNNNNNNNNNNNNNNNNNNNNNNNNNNNNNNNNNNNNNNNNNNNNNNNNNNNNNNNNNNNNNNNNNNNNNNNNNNNNNNNNNNNNNNNNNNNNNNNNNNNNNNNNNNNNNNNNNNNNNNNNNNNNNNNNNNNNNNNNNNNNNNNNNNNNNNNNNNNNNNNNNNNNNNNNNNNNNNNNNNNNNNNNNNNNNNNNNNNNNNNNNNNNNNNNNNNNNNNNNNNNNNNNNNNNNNNNNNNNNNNNNNNNNNNNNNNNNNNNNNNNNNNNNNNNNNNNNNNNNNNNNNNNNNNNNNNNNNNNNNNNNNNNNNNNNNNNNNNNNNNNNNNNNNNNNNNNNNNNNNNNNNNNNNNNNNNNNNNNNNNNNNNNNNNNNNNNNNNNNNNNNNNNNNNNNNNNNNNNNNNNNNNNNNNNNNNNNNNNNNNNNNNNNNNNNNNNNNNNNNNNNNNNNNNNNNNNNNNNNNNNNNNNNNNNNNNNNNNNNNNNNNNNNNNNNNNNNNNNNNNNNNNNNNNNNNNNNNNNNNNNNNNNNNNNNNNNNNNNNNNNNNNNNNNNNNNNNNNNNNNNNNNNNNNNNNNNNNNNNNNNNNNNNNNNNNNNNNNNNNNNNNNNNNNNNNNNNNNNNNNNNNNNNNNNNNNNNNNNNNNNNNNNNNNNNNNNNNNNNNNNNNNNNNNNNNNNNNNNNNNNNNNNNNNNNNNNNNNNNNNNNNNNNNNNNNNNNNNNNNNNNNNNNNNNNNNNNNNNNNNNNNNNNNNNNNNNNNNNNNNNNNNNNNNNNNNNNNNNNNNNNNNNNNNNNNNNNNNNNNNNNNNNNNNNNNNNNNNNNNNNNNNNNNNNNNNNNNNNNNNNNNNNNNNNNNNNNNNNNNNNNNNNNNNNNNNNNNNNNNNNNNNNNNNNNNNNNNNNNNNNNNNNNNNNNNNNNNNNNNNNNNNNNNNNNNNNNNNNNNNNNNNNNNNNNNNNNNNNNNNNNNNNNNNNNNNNNNNNNNNNNNNNNNNNNNNNNNNNNNNNNNNNNNNNNNNNNNNNNNNNNNNNNNNNNNNNNNNNNNNNNNNNNNNNNNNNNNNNNNNNNNNNNNNNNNNNNNNNNNNNNNNNNNNNNNNNNNNNNNNNNNNNNNNNNNNNNNNNNNNNNNNNNNNNNNNNNNNNNNNNNNNNNNNNNNNNNNNNNNNNNNNNNNNNNNNNNNNNNNNNNNNNNNNNNNNNNNNNNNNNNNNNNNNNNNNNNNNNNNNNNNNNNNNNNNNNNNNNNNNNNNNNNNNNNNNNNNNNNNNNNNNNNNNNNNNNNNNNNNNNNNNNNNNNNNNNNNNNNNNNNNNNNNNNNNNNNNNNNNNNNNNNNNNNNNNNNNNNNNNNNNNNNNNNNNNNNNNNNNNNNNNNNNNNNNNNNNNNNNNNNNNNNNNNNNNNNNNNNNNNNNNNNNNNNNNNNNNNNNNNNNNNNNNNNNNNNNNNNNNNNNNNNNNNNNNNNNNNNNNNNNNNNNNNNNNNNNNNNNNNNNNNNNNNNNNNNNNNNNNNNNNNNNNNNNNNNNNNNNNNNNNNNNNNNNNNNNNNNNNNNNNNNNNNNNNNNNNNNNNNNNNNNNNNNNNNNNNNNNNNNNNNNNNNNNNNNNNNNNNNNNNNNNNNNNNNNNNNNNNNNCCGUAAGUUUACUUCAUCACUUAUCUCGUUGGAAGUGCGAGGUAGGAUGGUGCUUAUAGGCGAUUUGUCAGCCCUUGAGCCCUCGGCUCGUACUAGGGUGGUUUGCAGGUACGGGGAACGCACCCACGGACAUGUAACAACAACAACAAGUGCGGCACAAAUGCAUGACAAGCGGCUGCGGAAGACAGUGCGCUUAGGGAGCCCGCAGUGGCGGCAAGCCGAACGGAAGGCGUUGAUUUAGGAGCAUAUAGAAGGUGACAGCGGAGGGCGGUCCACUUGUAGAAACACCGCUGCGGCGGUCCGAUAGUGCGGCACCAAUUGCAUGAUAAGAGGCUGUAGAAGGCAGCGCACUUAGGAAGCCCGCCAAGGCGGCACACCGAACUGACGGCUUUAUGAUUUAAGAAUGUGUAGACGGCGACCACGGAAGGCGGCCCGCUUGUAGAAAAGCUGCUGCGGCAGUCCUCAGAAUACGGCACUAAAAUGCCUGACAAGCGACUGCGGAAAACAGCACGAUUAAGAAGCCCACCGCGGCGGCACACCGAAUGGGAGGCGUUGUGACCUAGGAGGAUAUAGACAGCGACCGCGGAAGGCGGUGCGCUUGUAGAAAACUGCUGUGGUGGCCCGCAAAGCGCGGCACAGAAUGCAUGACGAGCGGCGGUGAAAGGCAACGCGAUUAGGAAGCCUGCCGUGGCGGCACGCCAAACCGAAGGUGUGGUAUGGGAACUUGUAGACAGCGACCACAGAAGGCAUCGCGCUUGUAGCAAACCGCUGGGGUGGUCCACUGAGUUCGGUUCACAAGAGGCUGCAGGAGGUAGCGUUCUUGAGUAACCCGCAGUGAUGGCUUGCCGGAUUACAGGCGUGGCGAUUUAGGAGUAUGUCAACAACGAUCACAGAAGGCGGUGCACUUGUAGAAGGGAGACGGGGAGAGACACGUCUCAGACACGGGACCAGGAGUACCAGACACGAAGCGGGGUACAGAACGAGCCACAGCUAUUAGAAGGCCGUUACUGUUCCCCAUAAAACCCCAUAAAGGGCCGACCCACUGAUGGAGACCAUAAGGGUAGUUGCCCGAGUAAGGUGUGGAAAAGCCAGAAAUAAACAAUCGUAUCAAACGCCCUUGCCUGGGAAUGUUGUUCAGCUAGGCGGCUGAAGAAUGCAUUAGCAUCUUUCUGUAUGAGGAGGGGCGAAGGCCAAUACAAACGUCAUUGGUUGGCCCAUCAGGAAACCAGAGGCAAGGAUGCCGUGAGGGGAAAAGGGCGCUACAAAACGUCAAGGCCUGCCCAGGCGCAGGCUACGGGAGUACCAGGGAGGGCCGCUAGACUGCCGGGGCCAGUGAAGGUUACCCUGUUAAAACGCAAGGCACGGCCAUAGGAGCAGAGAAAAAUUGGCCGAGAACUACCGGAGCAGUCGGCUUCCCCGAGCAGUAGGGAAUCGGCGAGUGGCAGUGACGAAGUUAUGCAACCCGGGCGGACGACCAGGGCCAGGAGGGCGGAAUCGGAGGACAUACGCCAGGCUAGAGCCGAAGGGUCAUCCGCUGCCGGCAGACAAGCGGAAAGGGACAUCCGGUCCGAAUCCAGGGGCCCGGUCGGGCAACAAGUGGAUUGGCGAGCCUUGGGGAAAGACGUUGGCUGCAAAACACGGAGACAAGGCCAUGUCACUCAGAGGCACGUUCGAGCCCAACGCGGCCUCAGACCCAGGAGCGAUAGUGGCAUUACGAAUCGGAGGAUUUGGGCUCCGAGGACGGCAGUCAACUUUUGUGGGGCGGCGCAAAGAACUUAUGGUGAUCGGUCUGACGGACGCGCUGGAACAGUUUUUCUGGCGGGUAGGGCAGGAUCUCUGCGAUGGAUACACGAAUCACAGGAGGCGAGGCUACGACGUAGACUGACACCCCUUAUCGAAGAGAUAGCAGAACAACUGGCAGCAGCCUUUCGAACAGCAGCGGGAACCUAUCAGGGUGAGUCCAGUUUUCGGGGGAAAGUGUACAGUUCCCCAAUUGAUGACUACCGCGUGUCAGAGGAGCGAUGCGGGGCCAACUUAGGUGACUUAUAAUGGGUGCCCGGGUGCACCACCCGGGGGUGGUCGGGGGGACGCGGAGACGGGAGUGAGAGAGUUGGAGAUACGAAAUGGGGAGAGUUUACAGUGGGAGCAGGAGUAAGGCAAGGCAGAGAGGGGGGCGCGCGGAGCGCGGGUGGCCGGGGUGUUUUAGGUUGGCAGGGGGAUGGAGGGUGGGACGCCGUGCGUGGUGCGUGGGGCUCGCUUAGGCGGAGAGCGUUACAAAGGUUGUAAGUGAGCCCUUCGUAUCAUACGGAUGCUCGCCCCAACUAAUCCGGCCCUUACGGUGGCGGGCUCUUUGACUUCAGAAUUGCCAAAUACAGAAGUACGGAGGGCCCUAUGCCAACCACGGAUAUCACACCAGGACGAGACAGUCCGAGUUUUGGCCAUUCCAGCACAGAAUGCAGAGUCAGACAACAGGUACCAACUAAGCUUUAUUNAGACGGAUUACAGAAAAUAGACGACGAGAAAGACUAGAAAAAGUCGAGGUCGCCCUCCCUCCCCACCCUCGUGAGACAGGACCAAACAUGCACAGACUUAUCACUCAUCAUCACUCUCCGAAACCACCAGCCCCGUCCCCGUCCCGCCGGCCGGGAGGCGGGCGAGGUGCCUAGUAGGAUCCAGAUAGCGGUGCAGAGUACCCAGAGAGCGGAUGUGCGCGGAGCGCAUGAGAUCCUCAUCGGAGACCCCCUGAGACUGGGCAUGCUGCAAAGCACCCCGACGAAAACUGUGCACCGUCUCUCCACCGUAUAGCCCAGCAGCGGUAAGAUGAGCGACGAGGCGAUAUUCCAGGGCCUCGGUCGUCAUCGGCGCCUCCCGAUAUGCGCGGCCACUGCGCUCCGCCGGACGGAAGAGGUAUUGGGUAAUAGGGGUACCGGCCCUCGUACACGUGCUCAUGUACACUGCAAGAACCCGCAGCGCGCAGACGAUAGGAUCACGAUCCGGACGCAACAUCGUCGCAGGAGCACGCUGACCCUUGUACGUCUUGGUAUUUAAUUCUUCGAUACGGAGUACAGUGUCGGGAGAGACACUCCCGUCAGGCGCGGGUAGGGGUAAUGGCCAGCCCUGGUACUCGGUACGGCCAUGCACCGGAUCCCUGAAAUCACUUAACACCAGCUUGCCGACAUCAUGACCGCGCUGAUACGUAUGCCACAUUAAAGCAAAUAGAGACAAGUCCCGAAGCACCAAACUGCGAGCAAACAAAUGCUCUUCGUCGCCGGACGCAGUCCACAGAUGGCAGGCCAGGCGACGAAACUUCUCCGCGGUCAAAGGGAUGGCGCCUCGCUCCACAUAACCGGUGUCACUAAGGUCCCGCCCGUAGCCCUUGACAUAGCCUCGCAACAAGGAGCUGUCGCAAGGAUUCCCGCGGCUUUGAGAGGCGUCAUAGUCCCCUUCCCGGCCCAGCUGCUUAAAAGCAGUCGCAAGGCUCGAGAUAACCCCUUUCACAGCACUGGCGCUGGGACGCCGGUCAGCCCGCAGACGCCCAGGGUGCCGGGGGAACCACCAUUCCACCAGAUACGAAACAAUGGACAUAGGAUCGCAGGUGAGCAAGGUGAGCCCGAGAGACUGGCGCUGCAACCAGCCAUGAAAUUCUCGCGCAGCACUUUGAACCCGCCGCCAGCUCUCCGAGACCCACUGACGUUGGUGCACCUGGUAGAUCGAGAGCAAGGCGGCCGUGAGCGGCGGCCGCACCGACACGUCCCCGGUAAACUCAGAGUAAUACAGAGCCGCGACAGGGUCUAAAGGCGGCGGCGCCGACCUCGGGAGACGGAUAGGGCCCGCAGCAAGCGGAGGCAUGGCAGGGAGAGGAUUACCAGGAAAGACCUGCGGUGAUCAUAGAGCCGAGGCGUAGGACGCACUAAGCUGACGGACGUCCAUCGAAAACAGACAAAACGUACCAGCGGCAGGUGUAACGGCGGGACGAUGAGAUCGUCACGCACAGGCGUAACGGUAACGAAUCGAUGAGUAGACGAAGUAAGUGGGUCUUGGCCCCACGGUAAGCCGCCAGGUACGAGAGGAAACAUAAUGCUAACGGGUACUCGCGAUAACACGAUUACUCGAUUCAGGAACACGGAAAAUUAUUACAAUAAAACGGGGCGCGAUCGCGCUUCCAAAAAAAAUUGGAUAUCACCGAAAAGGGCCUAAAUUCGUUCGUGCGUGGUGCGUGGGGCUCGCUUAGGCGGAGAGCGUUACAAAGGUUGUAAGUGAGCCCUUCGUAUCAUACGGAUGCUCGCCCCAACUAAUCCGGCCCUUACGGUGGCGGGCUCUUUGACUUCAGAAUUGCGACUUGCGACUUCAGCAGUACGCAAGACCGCACUUCGCCUCGCAUCCCGCAAUUUGUUAUGCAACCAGCCAUAAUUUACUAUAAGCUUAGCAAAUUGCAAGGGUAAAGGGCUCAUCUGGACGCAGUUUGCAUGCCGUGCUGCCGGCUUGCGCAAGGAAUCUCUGCGCGCGCUCCACGCCCGCGCGCGCCGCGAGCACCAGGAUAAACUACAACAAAAUGUCUUUUGCUUCGUGCAAAAAUAUGAUGGUAUGUGUUGGUAUGUGUGCCCGGAAAGCUGUGCCGGACGGUCGACCGUCCGGCAGACCGUCCGCCAUGGACGGCCCCACCGUCCGCCAGGGGGGGUAUAUGAACCACACAAAGGGGCUCAUGUCUCAACACAGCUACCAAACAUACACACCGUUACAUGACUACUCCACAAUAACACAGUAGUCCUCCUCUUCUUCGGCCACUUCUCAGGGCCCCCAGGACUGCGUGCACAAUUCACCUUAGGAAGCUGAACACAUACGUGACAAGAACCAUGAGUUAUGCAUUCAACUGUGUAAAUGGAAUUCUUAUUGAGUUGCAGCAUAAGGCUCCAUGGAAAGGACGGCCAAGACCUCGAGGCGAGACGGACGGCCUCGACCCCUCGGGCCGAGACCUCGGGCUGAGACCUUGGGCGUCUAUGAAAUAAGUUUGCCCUGGUGACUGAUUACACAGCUAGGCAGGUACAUCGUUAUGCGAAGACGAUUGACGGAUUGCGGCUUUGCUGGGGAUUUUACGGUGGCCUUUGGAGGUGGAGUUAAAAGGUAGCAGUGAGUGGACGAUAAGAUACUUCAGAAGCGAGCAGUUUCUACCAGAUGGGAGGGAAAUCCUCGUCACGGCUCUAGCGCAGGAUGCUAUGACUAUGUGACGAUGGUGAAUUACAAUGAUGCUUUGUGCAGUGCUUUUUGACGACGCGUGUGCUGGAAGAUAUUUCGCUUGUCCGGUGGAUAUUGGAGCUAAAAGCCAAAUGUGGCAAGCCCACGGGGGACAGGAGAGCAUGCACAGGCAUAAAGCGGGACACGCAUAUGCAGGCUGUUAAGGAGGCUGCAUGCACGCGGGGGGUGAUACGCAGCCCAACCUCCCUAGUGGGUGUGCGCGCACGCGCAUGUAGUCUACACUCACAUCAUCGCGUAGCGAAUUUCCCCCGGGGUACAUAUCACCUGGUUCGCCACCGUAGCGGAUCAUCCCGCCCUUCGCCCCACGCCGUAUACCUCGCGACUGUAGCUAUCAAGUUUCCUUCAUCUCCCCUUCCACCCCCACCCGCGCCCGCACCCAUACCCGCACCCACACCCACACCCACACCCGCACCUCGCCUGCUACGCUGUCCCCCUUUCCCCUCUCACCUCCCAAUGGGCCCCCGCUAGCUCCGCCCCGCCCCACAUCCCAUACACAGACACACAGGCUCUCUCUCUCACCUGCCACCCUCCCUAGCUCCGGAAUAUCGUCUGCGGGUCCCCCCCGGGUAUUCUCCGUACCGCUGCCCGCCACCUCACGAUCGUGGCGUGCUACCUUUUCAUGCAGAAGCACAUACAAACAUACGCAAAUAACUAAAACAAAAACGCACGUUUAACAACUUGCCAAUGUGGCCUCAUGGAAGGUGACGGGACUUUGGGAAAUAGCUACACGACCAAACACAUCAACAGCCGAGACAACGGCACGCAACGAGACAGACAGAUAGACAAACUUACUCACAGACAGACAGACCGAACACACCAGGUGCAAUUACAUGGCAAUGACACGGGCGCUGGACUGCAGGUCUCGGUGUGCCAACCGCCAAACUACCAUCCAACUACUACCAGCUAACACAUAAGCAUCCCAGGGAAGAAGAGCGCUGUAUGACCCACGGGUCCAUCCGUUCCCACACUGCCGCUUCCCCUGCCCUCUCCCGUCCCCACCUGCUCCGCGGCCGCCUCGCUGGUAGUGGCGGGCGGUGUCUUUAUGUCCGGUAGCGAUGGGCGUUGUGCUGUUCUAUUGCCGACGUGGAGCGAGACGUUGGUUGAGUUUGUGUGCGCCUGGAAGAAAAGGGUUUUGUAACGAGGUAGCGGUGGUUGGAGAUGGGUGAGAGGGGGGAGGGAUGGUGGGUGCAAAGGUGCUGCCGGCGGGGUUCAGUCCUUGUGGAGCUAUGUGGCGGGUGGAGAGCAGUUUCCGGGACAUGCCGAGUAUCGAGUGUCACGUGAAGAUGUGUAUGCGGUUUUCUGCACCAACCUCGCAACCACAUUCCCCCUCUUCCCGCCUCCCGGCGCCCACAGGGGGCCCCCCUGUCGCACUCACGUUCCUUGCACGUGGAAGUGGUACAUACAUACAUGCAUACAUACAUACAUACACCUAGGGAGGAGCAAGUAGGGCCCUGCUGCGGCAUUGAUA
This 44867-nucleotide long non-coding RNA is filed under the name Volvox carteri. RNAcentral's name for it is "long non-coding RNA (VCAR_LNC002576)". The record is from RNAcentral. Lineage: Eukaryota; Viridiplantae; Chlorophyta; Chlorophyceae; Chlamydomonadales; Volvocaceae.